This 77210-nucleotide long non-coding RNA is filed under the name Pelobates cultripes (western spadefoot toad). The record is from RNAcentral. Lineage: Eukaryota; Metazoa; Chordata; Amphibia; Anura; Pelobatidae.
GUCCAGUUCCAGAGUUUUAAUCCUAAUUUAACUCACUUGAAAAGGAUUAUCAAUUACAGGUGCUAUUAAGUACUCCCCUGCCAAAGGAGGAGGGAUAUUGUGUUUGAUUUCUGUGAGUGGAAACAGAGAGCUGAAAACCCUGAAACAGUAAGGUUGUUGUUUAUGUUGGGAAAUGGACAAGCCAUCCAACCCAGUUAGCUAAUUAUUUUGUUUAGUUUAGUGCUCAGAAGAGCAAGGAUUUUGUUUUAUAUAUUUUGUUACAACCUUUUAUACCUUACUGUGCAUUUAUUUUGGAACCACAAUAAAAAGAGCAAGUCCUUUUACCUCAUCCAGCGUGUGAAGUGUCUUUAAAGCCUGAAAAGACGGUGUGUGGUGACAUUCUGUCAUCAAAUUAAUAUGGUGACCAGGGAUCAUGUGACCAAGCUCAUGUACAGUGGGAUAAGCUUUACCUUUUGAUAUGGUAAUUGAGUAAUUCAAUACCUUUACAAGUCAAGAAAGAGGUAACCACUUCCCCCUAGCUCCAUUCCUCUCUGUUCCUUCUUGGCUGUGCUACUGAGCAGUCCCUUAAGCAGACACGGCCUAAUUUCUAUCAUGGUGAACUGUGAGUGGGAUUUUAUAAGAUGUAGUUGUUAUUGUUAGUUAGGUUGUUGUUGCUGUUGGUGGUAUAGUUAGAUUGUGUGUCAUUAUUUGUAUGCUGUUGUUGUUUUGUCUCUGAAUAAAUAUUUGUUAAAGUAGACGGACCAGAGUUUAUAUGUAUAUGCGUACAUAAUAAUUUAUAGAGUUUGGUAAUACACCACACAAGGUACCAAGGGAAAGGAGUACUUUUGGUCACACUGCGUAUAUGUGUAUGUAUUUCGGUCUGUAUGUAUGUAUGUCAGUAUGUCUGUGUGAAUGUAUGUAUGUAUGUAUGUAUCUAUCUGUGUGUAUGUAUGUAUGUAUGUAUCUGUAUGUCUGUCUGUGUGUGUGUGCAGUGUGCAUAGGAAUUUGAUAAUAUUUUUUUUUAUAGUCCGGCACCCAACAGUGUCUGAGGGACCGUGAACUGGCCCCCUGUUUAAAAAGUUUGAGGACGCCUGAUCUAUAGUAAUACUGGAUAUGGCUUGCUAUGAAAAUAUAGCAGACUUUAUUAUACAGUAUAUAUUAUAUAGUCUCAAUGGGAGAAAUAUAUCCAAGGUAUAUAUACACUUCCUGGCCAAAAAGAAAAGUCGCCACCUGGAUUUAACCAAGCAAAGAGGUGGCUAAUUACUGCAUGGGCGAUUAUGUUUCAGCUGGCAACAAGUUAUUUAACCCCAACUGAUGGCAAUGAAUAGCUUCUCAUUUCAACCAUGUUGAAAGACACAUCUCGUGGUCAUGGAAAAGAUGUUAGUCUGUUUGAGAAGGGUCAAAUCAUUGACAUGCAUCAAGCAGAGAAAACAUCUAAAGAGAUUGCAGAAACUACUAAAAUUAGGUUAAGAACUGACCAACGCAUUAUUAAAAACUGGAAGGAUUGUGGGGAACCACCGUCUUCGAGGAAGAAAUGUGGUCGGAAAAAAAUCCUGAUUGAUCGGCGAUCACUUAAACGUUUGGUGAAAUCAAAUCAUAGAAAAACAGUAGAACUCAGGGCUAUGUUUAGUAGUGAAAGUAAGAGCAUUGCCACACGCAUAAUGCAAAGGGAACUCAAGGGAUUGGGACUGAACAGCUAUGUAGCCUUAAGAAAACCACUAAUCAGUGAGGCUAAUUGGAACAAAAGGCUUCAAUUUGCUAGGUAGCAUAAAUAUUGGACUCUGGAGCAAUGGAAGAAGGUCAUGUGGUCUGAUGAGUCUAGAUUCACCCUGUUCCAGAGUGAUGGGCGCAUCAGGGUAAGAAGAGAGGCAGAUGAAGUAAUACACCCAUCAUGCCUAGUGCCUACUGUACAAGCCUGUAGGGUCAGUGCUGUGAUCUGGGGUUGCUGCAGGUUGUCAGGUCUAGGUUCAGCAACAUUAUGUUCCCAAAGAAUGAGGUCAGCUGACUACCUGAAUAUACAAAAUGAUCAGGUUAUUCAUUCAAUUGAUUUUUUUCUUCUCUGAUGGCACAUGCAUAUUCCAAGAUGACAAUGCCAGGAUUCAUCUGGCUCAAAUUGUGAAAGAGUGGUUCAAAGAGCAAGAGACAUAAUCCAGAGUCCAGACCUUAACCUCAUUGAGAAUCUUUGGGAUGUGUUGCAGAAGGCUUUGCACAGUGGUCCGACUCUCCCAUCAUCAAUACUAGAUCUUGGUGUAAAAAAACACAGCACCCCCCCAAUGAGUUCCAAUGCAAAGAAAGAGGCUACACCUUAUAUCCUGCCAGACCAUGUGUCUGGAACAUACCCCUUCAAAUAUAGCUGAUAUAUCAGGUGUAUAAAGGCAAACCUUCCUUCAGUAGCAUACCGGAUCUUUCACUUGCUACACCACUUAGAGCCCUAACCUAUUGUAUAACAAACCAGAAAAAAAAAGGAAAAGGUGGCGCUAAAAUUCAAAUACCUAAAAAAUACAGUUCGGUAUUAUUAAAAUGCUAUAGUCCAAUCUCAAAAAUACUUUUCAAAUGCCGCCACUCCCGUCUAUUGCUUAAAUAUAACUUACACCGGAACAUAAGACCUUUUCGUGAAAGAUAGAGGAAGGGAAAAUAAAUAAGAUUUAAAUAAUAUAUUGAUAUAUAUAAUUAAUACAAUGUUAAACAAAAAUCUGCGUGUAUGUAUUUCAGUCUGUAUGUAUGUAUGUCUUUGGGAUGUGUUGCAGAAGGCUUUGCGCAGUGGUCCGACUCUCCCAUCAUCAAUACUAGAUCUUGGUGUAGAAUACAUAGAAUACAAUAAUCUUUCCCCUUCACUUAGGAGAUAAUUGAAUCAAGUAUUAUACUCAACUCAAUUAUCUCCAAACACAAAAGUGCCUUAAACCCCAUUUGAACCCCACAAAAGUCAUAUCCCCUGAUAAUUUUUCCCCACCAUAACCUAAUUGGAUUUUGAGAUAUAUAGAUAUAUAUAUAUAUAUAUAUAUAUAUAUAUUGAACAUGUUGUUUACUGAAAACAAACAACUGUAUUGUUACGGAAGUUAUCAAUUAAGAAAUUCUUCCUUGAAAAAGACAUGGCAAAACAAGAAACAGAUUUGGAUUAUACUCACACUGGGCUACACCCAACCUCCACUUUUUAUCCACAACACAUGAAAAAUGACUCCAUUCGAGUAUUUGAAAAAAUGGUCGAGAAAGACUUUAGGAGCAAAAUCACCAAGAAAAUCACGAAAGAUAAUUUGACCAGAAAAGAAAGGAAUGCACUCAAACAACUCAUGAGAUCUGAAGACAUCACAAUAAAAGCAGCGGAUAAAGGUGGUGGAUUGGUUAUUCUCAAUACCAGCGAUUAUGGGGAGGAAAAUCAGAGAUUAUUAGGAGACACUAAUACGUAUCUGCAAUUGAAAGGUGAUCCCACUAUCCAAUAUCAAGACGAACUUAAGGAAAUACUGAAUUACGGAAAGGAUAGAGGGAUUUUAAAUGAAAGAGAAUACAAAUAUCUGUAUGUCCAAUACCCAAGGAUACCGGUAUUCUACCAUCUACCAAAAAUACAUAAGAGACUGGUGAAACCUCCUGGAAGGCCAAUCGUAUCAGGAAUUGGAUCCCUCACCUCAAACCUUUCUGAAUACGUUGACCAAUAUUUGCAACGUUUGGUCUCCUGUUUAAAAUCCUACCUUCCACUCAAGUUUUAAACAUUUUAUCUGAUUUUAAGUGGGAAGAUGAGAUGAUUUUAGUCACUGCUGAUGUUACCUCUCUCUAUACAGUAAUUGAACACCUCCAAGGAUGUGAGGCCACACAAUUCUCCCUAGCAACAUAUUCCGAUUUAAAAAAUGACCAAAUUGAUUUCCUCAUUCAGUGUAUCGUUUUUAUUCUCACACAUAAUUAUUUUUGGUGUGAUGACUUAUUUUAUCUACAGAUUGAAGGCACAGCCAUGGGGACACGAUUUGCGCCAAGUUACGCUAAUUUAUUUAUGGGCAAAUGGGAAGAAGAAUAUAUAUGGACCCAUUGCCCAUUUGGCGCAAAUCUGUCCCUGUGGCUCAGAUAUAUCGACGAUUGCUUCUUUAUAUGGAAAGGAGACCUUGGAUCCUUAGAGAGUUUUAAAACUUAUCUUAACAACAACCCAUAUCAUCUGAACUUCACUUUUAACCACUCUAAAGAACACAUUGAAUUUUUAGAUCUGGAUAUCUAUAUCAAAGAGGGACAAAUCAACACCAAGACUUUUAAGAAGAAUGUGGACUGUAAUAGUUUUAUUCCUUUUAACAGUCAUCACAAGUCAACAUGGUUAAGAAACAUACCUCAGAACCAGUUCAGGAGGGUAAGACGUAACUGCUCGAAUAAUGAAGUGUGUAAGUCACAAAUGGAAGAAAUGAAGCAGAGAUUCCUGAAAAAGGGUUAUCCCCCAACGCUAUUAGAAGAAUCUAUGGAUAUAGCACUUACCACCCCAAGAGAGGAUACCUUAUGCAAUAAACCCAGCACCACAGAAGUAUCCAAUUCAGCACCCACCUUUAUCACUAAAUAUAAUCAUCAAUUUCAUACAAUACAGAAGACACUUAGGAAGCACUGGGGGAUCCUUAAGAAUGAUCCAACGUUAUCUAAAUUCCUCGACAAUCAACCUCAGAUUAUUUUUACUAGGGCACCCAACCUGCAACUUAUGCUGGCACCGACCACUAAACCUGAAAGUGCUGAUUUGGAUCAAGGUACCAUCAGUGGCUUCACAAGAUGCAAGAAGUGUCUAGCAUGUAGAAAUAAUCCAUCAUUAGAAGACACAACCACUGGAUUUAAAUCCCACACCACUCAAGAGGAAUAUGAUAUCAAGACCAACAUGGACUGUACUACAUCAGGAGUUAUCUAUUUAAUAACAUGUCCAUGCCCACAACAAUAUAUUGGACGUACAAAAAGACCCCUCAAAAUACGUAUUGCUGAACACAUUAGAAAUAUUAAGAAGGGACUUCCAACGCAUAAUCUUUCCAAGCACUUUAAAGAGAUACAUGGGGGAGACCCACAGGACUUGCAUUUAUGCCUAUUGAGAAAGUGAAUACCCACUGGAGAGGAGGCAGCAUUGAUAAGGCUCUAGAUCAGACAGAAGCGAAGUGGAUUUUUAAGUUAGGGACUUUGGUCCCUAAGGGACUUAAUGUAGAUUUUGAGCUUAAUGCUUUCCUAUAAUAUAUCUUUAUUAUUUUUUUUUUUUUAUUUAUUUUUUUUCACCUUUAUUUAUAGUUACAGACUACCACCAGGGAUUAUUCAUUUAUUUAUUUAUUAUCUAUUUUGUAUAUAUUAACUAUUAUUUUUUCUCCUGUUUUCUCCUAGAAGGAUGGAUUGACACUAUACCUAUAUGGUACCUAUCUAGUAUUGGUUAUCCAUAUGUAGUCAAUAUACUAUUAUGAUUUUAUCCAUCUUCAUGUAUAUAUACCAAUUUAUGUCCAGCAUUUCAUUAUCUCUAAUUGAUUCAUUAAAUAUGUUCCUUCCAUUUGGAACAUUCAUAUAUUGCUUUUAUGUAUUUUUACAUUUACCGGUCUUAUGUAUCUGUCUACAUUUUAUGAGACUUUAUAAAUAUUGUUUUUACCCUAGUGGCAAUGAUUUGCAUUUUAUGUAUAUGUAUGUAUCAUUUUAUGCAGGUACAAAUACUGUGUUUAUUAGUAUAGAAUAUAUUGGUUUUAACACCUAAAUGUGAUUGAUAAUUAGGCAAUGUUAUGUCUAUUAUGUCUAUUAUGUCUCUGAUGAAGUAGGGCCCAUUCCCUACGAAACGCGUAAGACAGGCAUUCCAGCAACACACGGGAUCAGACGCAUGUACCAGCAGUACCACUAAUCUGCACACGCAGGACCUGUUUGGAAAGUACCGCCACCGGAGGCAUCUGUCCUGCACGUCCCCUGAAGUGAGGCUCCUGCUCGGGACGUGCUCACAGACACAAGCCAUCCUCACCGGCAGCUGUAUAUUGAAUCAUCACAAUCCAUAUCCAUCCUUAACAAUCUGAAGGUCCUUGCUGUUAUUUUUCAAUGCUUCAGUCUGGUAAUGCAUUUCUGAAUCUAGUGUGACCUGUAUUUUUAUAUUUAACUUUUUCCAAAGUUAUUUUAUUAUAUUCAAUAAACUGGCAUUUUUUUCUUAUAUGAAGUGAUCCAGUUUUAUGCUUCAGUUUUCCAGCGAUAUAUUGUUUUCAUUUUUAUUGCCUAAAGCUAACAGUUCCCUGUACUGUAUAGCUUAUUUUUUACUUCUAUCUUUUACUAAGUAUAUUAUUUGCAACAGGUAUCAUUUAUCCCUCAUGUUGUUUGGGAUAUAGACACCAGUUUCAUACAUAUUUUUUGGUCAUCCAGCAGAGAAUUUGGUCUCUCAUCUUUCCCCUUUUUGCAUUUUUGUAUUUUAUUUAUAUAUAUAUAUAUAUACCUUUUUUUUUAAUUUUAUUAUUUUUUUUUUUACCCCCCUUAUAUAGCACUGCUUUGCAUGUUUGCACACUCUUAAAGGACAUUUAAAGGUAUAGCAGCAUUCUCUUUGUAUUCUUGCACAUUUAAAGGGAUAUCCCGUUUAUUUGAGAUCUCCACUCAUAGCACUUUUACUCACAUUUUUGCACAUUUAUAGGGAUACUUUGUCCAUUCCAGAUUUAAAGGCAUAGUACCAUAUAUAUAUUUUUAUAUUUAUAUAUUUCUUUUUUUUUUUUAUAUUUAUCUCUAUGUAUUAGUAUUUUAGCCAUUAGUCACCUAGCCAGCUCCUGGUAUUCCCACUCUUCUAGAGAGUUCUUUUCCCUUGUUCUAUAUAGGUUUUUAGUGAAUCCCUAUCAUUACCAGUUUUCGAGCAGCUUAGUGCUAGUCUGUCUCCCUCUCUCCUGUGUGGUAUAUUAGGUACACCAGAACUGUUCAACUGUAUUGUUAUGACUCAACUUUGACUUGUAAUUGAAUUUUUAACUAUCCACUGAGCUACAGAAGAUGCGGUUUUGAUAACUCAAUACUGAAUAAUGCUGGCUGUUAUGAAUGCUGGUAUAUCAGAUAACCAGUCAUAUUCGGUUCCUCCCAAACUGCCAAGCAGGGCUGGCCUUAGGUGUUCCAGCGCCCUGUGCGAGCUAAUCUUGUGGCGCCCCCCCCCCCCACCUAAACAUACACAAAGAGGAAAACAGUCUUUGUAACAAACUGUUUUUUAAUUACAGAUAAUUUAAGUGCAAACAAGUACAAUAAUAAAUAACUGGAUUGACUGGUAACAAUAAUGUAUAUUAAAUAUAUUAAAUACACAGAACUCUCCACGAUACUAUAGACCUAUCAGGUCCACUCCGACACCCACCCCGCACAACAUUACAUGAGAACCCGGGGGACACUCUAGCUACCUGCUCCCCUCAGGGAUCUACACGUGAACACAAAUAGCCCUCAUUACCUACCGAUUAGCACUAUUCCCCUAUACCAAACACACAAAAGGGCGCAAUAUUCUUAAGCCACGCAAUUGUAUGUAACUGCCUCCGCUUAGACCGCACCAGCCGAAGUGGCGAUGCUUAAUAUCGACAUUACACAAACUAACAAGUUAAUGAUAUGGAAGGAGAGCACACAGCGAUCCCCCACAGCUAGGUCAGGCACUGAAUAGUCACUAAGCCCCCUCGGCAUAUGCCCUGACCAACCUCAUAAUGCCGAUUAACCCCCCCCCUACGUAUAAAGUGGGUGCAGGGUUGGUCGGCAACCUAUUGUACAUGCUCCACCAAUUAUGAUCAGGUUUAUUUCUGUUGAUAAUGUUUGUCUUUGUUAGAAACAUAGCCGACCGAACCUGUAUUGCCUUUCUGCUCCAUAAGCAUAGUUGAUAGGCUCACAGGAACUAUACCGGCUGCUCAUGAGGUUAUCUUGUUAUCUAAUAUAAAAAUGCAUGGUGUUGGUGUUCCAAAAUAUUUUUUGAUUACUCCAGCACUCUUCUGGUCCUCCAAAUCCAUAAGGGCCCUUCGUUUUCGAUUCUGAGCACCUGACAGUUUUUUGGGACCCAUAAUGCUGCUACACGAUACAAUAAAAAAAUAUAUAUUUAAAAGAGAGGCCCUUUUAAGUAUAGAUACAAAAGAAAUGCAAGAUUCGCAGCAGCAGUGUACAGAUAAUAUGAAUUUCCUAAAUGUAGUAUGCCAACAUUUGUGCCAAAUAAAGUAUAGAUAAAUAAAUAAGCAUUGCAGGUAUUCAUCAAAUGAAUAAGACAUCCAAACCUUGUAUUUCCAGGUAUAGAUUAAAUAACAUAACACAUGGAAACAUAACAUUACAUGUGUAGAACAACUAAACAUAAAAAUCACAACAUAAAAAUCACAUGCUAACACAGUAGUGAAGAUAUAGAUCAACUAUAGAUCAGCUUCAAUGUCACUGUCGGGGGUCUUUGCACAUUUGGCAAAUUCCCAGACAGUGACAGUGCCACUUUAAUAGUAUAAUCCACAAAGUCAGUUUAUGUAUUGUAGAAACAAGAGCAAUGUUGUCAGUACACUAUAUUUAACCAUUUUACAACACUAAGCAUGUAUAGCCUCUCCCUCAUUUCUUAAACCCACGUCUUUGUUUGGCCCCCUCUAGACAAUUUCAGGCACACAAUAUGCCGCCUUCACCCCCUUCACCAAAACCCUUGGCCACUUCUUCAAUAAAACCCCUGCCCCCUUCAUCAGACCCUGCCCCCCUUCAUCAGAUACUGCCUCUAUUCAUCAGACCCUGUACCCUUCAUCAAUCCCCAGGCUGCACCCCUUCAUCAACCCUUUGCACCCCUUAAUCAGACCCUGCCUCCCUUAAUCAAACCCCUGCCCCCCUUAAUCAUAACCUGGCAUCCAUGCCCAGUCCCUUGCCCCCCUUAAUUAGACCCAGUGUCACCCAUAGCCAGUCCCAGUCCCCUGUCCCCCUUAAUUAGACCCAGUGUCACCCAUAGCCAGUCCCAGUCCCCUGUCCCCCUUAAUUAGACCCAGUGUCACCAUAGCCAGUCCCAGUCCCCUGUCCCCCUUAAUUAGACCCAGUGUCACCCAUAGCCAGUCCCAGUCCAUUGCCCCCUUAAUUAGACCCAGUGUCACCCAUAGCCAGUCCCAGUCCCCUGUCCCCCUUAAUUAGACCCAGUGUCACCCAUAGCCAGUCCCAGUCCCCUGCCCCCUUAAUUAGACCCAGUGUCACCCAUAGCCAGUCCCAGUCCCCUGCCCCCUUAAUUAGACCCAGUGUCACCCAUAGCCAGUCCCAGUCCCCUGCCCCCCUUAAUUAGACCCAAUGUCACCCAUAGCCAGUCCCAGUCCCCUGCCCCCCUUAAUUAGACCCAGUGUCACCCAUAGCCAGUCCCAGUCCCCUGCCCCCCUUAAUUAGACCCAGUGUCACCCAUAGCCAGUCCCAGUCCCCUGCCCCCCUUAAUUAGACCCAGUGUCACCCAUAGCCAGUCCCAGUCCCCUGCCCCCCUUAAUUAGACCCAGUGUCACCCAUAGCCAGUCCCAGUCCCCUGCCCCCCUUAAUUAGACCCAUGGUCACCCUUACCAAGUCCCCUGCCCCCCUUAAUUCGACCCUGUAUUUUAUGAAAAGAUUUUUGGAUUAAAAAUAAAAAAAUAAGAACAGGUACUUACUUUGAAGUCUGCUGCUUCCUCCCUGUCUGCAGAGCACCGGCCGCCGCCCUCACACAUUGAGCGGAUCCUUCCGCGGCUCUCUGUGAUGGCGCAGCACUUGCACGCUGCGCCCCCAAGCUCCUCCUCCACGCUCCGGAAACCGCAGUUCAGCUCACAGACAAUCUCGGGCCGGCCAGUGACAGAGCGACUGCGAGCUGUGUCGGCCGCCCGGCGCCCCUGUUGCCAUGGCACCCUGUGCGGCCGCACAGCUCGCACACCCCAAAGGCCGGCCCUGCUGCCAAGAGCUGAGUGAUUAUAGCUUGCAGUUCGGGUAUCAAGAUGAAUACUCUCCAGCUAGAAUGCAGCAUAGAAGAAGUCUUCCCCAGCAGUCAAUCAUAUACCCAAACAUCAGGCCGGCUUUUUAUGGAAGUACCCAGGCACGGGGUUUACAAUAACAUAUUCCAGGGGCAUUCCCCACUGGACCUGAGAGGGCACAGGGACAAAUUACAUACUGUAGUUACAUUGGCUCUCAGGUCCAGGACAUUCCCGCAUAGAAUACAAUAAUGCUUCCCCUUCAUUUAGGAGAUAAUUGAGUCAAGUAUUAUACUCAACUCAAUUAUCUUCAAACACAAAAAACACAUUUUCACAAAACCCCAAAAGUGCCUUAAACCCCAUUUGAACCCCACAAAAGUCAUCCCCUGAUAGCCCCGAUCUGGAGGACCAACAUAUCCAAAAAUCACCCACAUCAGUUCGGGGUUUAGGAGUUCCAUGGAAGUCAUAAUUUGACCGACCGCACACAAGGCUUCUGCCCAGAUAGCGUUCCAUGAAAUCAGGCUGUGUGGUCGGUCUCUUUCGGGAAGUCCAAAAACCGAACAAAUCCACAAACUGUUUCCCUGGCUUAUAGGUAGCGUUUGUUCCCCUAGUUUGUGGGAACAAACCUACCGAACAGUGCUCUCCUGGCUGGUCGGUGAACAGAAGCAGGCGUUUGCGAAGUUUGACCGGCGUUCGGGAAGUCGAAUGUCCAAUUUUAGUUCCAGACACUCGACAACCAAGUCCCGCUGCAUCUGUUCGUGCGACAAAAUGGCCACAAAGAGAGAGCACUUAAUUCACCGUUUCCUUUGAAGUUAAUGAGCCAGGGGGGUGGUCGUUGUUCGGUAGUUUCAACUAACGAACGGGGAAAAUUCAAAAUAUCGAACAAACAGGGUAGUUUCUUCACACUGGCUUUUAAAGUUGAGAUUUGAAGGGGAGAAAGAAGGGGAAUAGAGAGAUAGUAGAUGGGGAGAGACAGACACAGGGAAAGGGGGGAGAAAGAGACAGAGGGGAAGAGAGAGACACAAGGGGAGGGGGAGAAAGAGGCAGAGGGGGAAGAGAGAGACUGGGAAGGCAUGGACAGAGGAGCAGUGAGGGGGAGAAAUAAACAUAUAGAGGAACUGGGGGGGGAGACAGAAAGGCACACAGAGGGGCUGUAUAUAUCACUGGUGGAUCCAGGGGGCAACUGGCAAUUGCCCCCCUCCCCCCCAGUGCAGGGCUGGCACUGUCCAAGCGCCAUAUGCUUUCACGGACCGGAGGGGAGAUUAGAAAUCUCCCAACCCGUUCCGCAGGCACCAUGACUACUUACUCUGGGAGCGGGUCCCGGCACUCCUGGCACCAUAACCACUAUACAGAGCAGUAGUGGUUAUUGUGCAUGGAUUAUUUCUUUAAAUAAUCUAUAAGUGCCCCUCCCGAGAUCAAGCUCUGGAUCCGCCACUGGUAUAUAUAUAUCAUGUAUAUUAAUGUGUGUGUAUACUUUUUUAUAUAUAUAUAUAUAUAUAUAUAUACCUAUUAUAUUUACACAUAUAUAUCAAUGUACAUUUAUAUAUGCAUAAUACACAGAGAAAUGUCAUUAAUAUGUACCAUAUGUAAUGAGCAGAUAUUGGCCCAGUCUUUUUGCUAGGUGCAUACUCCAGCACAAUAACAUGUUUAAAGUGAAGAGCACACCCACAGGACUUCAAAAUAAACAAGAUAACGUAAUUUUUUACAGUUGUGCCCUACAUACAUUCACCAUUUCAGUCCCAUUACCAAGCUUUCCUUAAUAUGUCAUGGUAGUUGGACUGAAACAUUGGUUAUAUGCAAAGGCACGUCUGCUUAAAAUAAAUCUGCACUCUUGUUUUUUUUUCUUACGCCUAUAUGUGGUAUUUUUCACGUUGGAGUAAUAAUUUUUAAUUUUAAGUUAUCUUUUCUAACUCUGUAUCUGCACACUAUGCUGGCGCGACGCAUUAUGGGGCUGGUAAAUAAUUUUUUUCCGGCCCUGACUAACGUGCAAUAUGGUUGCAUUUUCUGUAGCAAGAGGCAGGCUACAAACAACAGAAAAUAGGCAGAAGUAGAAAGGGAAGUUUAGGGCUAACAUAAAGAGUGAUCAGAGUAAACAAGGUUUAUAAUAUUCAGUAUGCUGGAACAUAGGAAAAUUAAAAGAAAGCCUGUGAUUUUAUAAAGGGAAAAAGAAGACUAUAAGGGCCAAUAGCUUUUAAUUACCAUACUGUUUCUAAAAUUUAAAAAAAGCAUGCAGAGAUUGCCACUGAUUCAAAAUUAGAAUGUCAUUGUUACCACCAAUCAGCUGUAUGCUCAGUUAUAUUUAGGUUUUAUCCAAAGUGCUUAUUUAUUUUAGAGUUAGACAAAUGAUCGCAGCUUCUGAUGAGCCCAAUAUGUUCUGCAUUACAUGGGCUUUGUGUGACCAGGCAAAAAUACAGUGCAGUUACACAUGUGCGUGCAGCUACUGUUUAACUACUUGCUGAGUCCAGUGCCUGGGGGUGUCUAGAGCGAAUUCCCCAUGCAGUUCCAGGACCCCAGUCAAGCCACGGUGACUGAGGGCUAGAGUGCUGAGGUUUGCCCCCUGUUCCAGCUAGGAAGCGGUCCUUGGUGGAGGUACCCAGCAAAAAUACAGUGCAGUUACAUAUGUGCGUGCAGCUACUGUUUAACUACUUGCUUCCUCCAGAACUAAUUUAUUAGGAAAAAUAUAUGGAUCUAGAGUCAGUUUCCUAUGCUUUAUAGGUUCCAUGUCCCACUUAAUAAAUAAAUUACUAGUGCAAAGCAGGCCAAAUCUACUGUAAAUAUAGACCACUGCAAUAACCUUCAAUGACAACCUAUUGGUUGUAUUUUUUUCUUUAUGCUUCCUAACGCAUUUUGGUACCUGACUUGUAUAUUUAUGUGACUAUUGUUAGAAAUGACUAAUUGGGUUUGAUUAGCUUCAUCAUUAAUAUUCUGUCCAUAAUUUAACAUGCUUCAAUAAAAUACCCUAAAGUUGUAUAGUGAUUAGAUUUCAGGAAUAUGUGUUUUGCAAUUAAGUUCCUCUUGAUUUUGAUAUGCAGAUUAAGAAAUGGUGGUCUCAUUUAAAGAGAAAAAAAAUUGCCCUUAUUAACUCAGCAGCAUACUCUGAAGAUUAGGCAAGAAAGCCUACAUUCGCUUUCUGUAUGUGCUAGCUAAAUGUAUUUCAAUCAAGUCUAUGUGGGCAAAUCAGAUGUGAUUAGUUUAAGUUCACAGUCAUCCUAUCUAAAUGAAUAAUGUGUCACCUAACAGUGCAAAAAUGUGAUUAAUAGUUUAUCAGUUAAUUAAAAAUGAUGUUUCUCUUUUUUAUUAUUUUUUUAGAGGAAUGCAAUGAAGGUAUUAUACGUGUAAAUCAUAAAUGCUAAUUAUUUUUCACCUAAUUCGGUUCUUUAUUUUCCAUUCUGAAUCCUCGAAAUUGGAAUUUAUAUCUCCUUGUGAUUUGAUUUAUGGUGUUAAGACAGAUUAGUUAAUGUUUCUCAGAAAAUGUUUGGAGCUUUACUUAAAAAAUAAUAAAAGCAAAAAUAGAUCUUAAUUUUCUUGAUUCACGGAGAAAGAGCGCACGUAGCUGUUUUAGUUAAACAAUUCAGUUCCUAUUUAUAUGACUAUAAUAAAAAAUAAAAAAAAAAACAAGAUAGAACAAGAUUAGAUAGAUAUAGUGUGACAAACUCCCCUUUCCAAUUGAGUUUGCCAAGAGCUCCUGGAGGAGCCUGCUUGCCAGCCACCUGCCCACAGACUACGGACCCUGUAAAAUGUAAUAUAAAAAAGUCUCUAUUCGUGUAUUUGGAUUAACCGGAGACCACCCUGGAGCUUGUUAAGCCUAAUUGCUACUUUGUAGCAAUUUCCACCGCAGUGCUCUAAAUGUUCGUCUGGGUGGCCACAUUGCCUAUGGACGACCACGGGGUGGCGGCCAUCUUGUUCGCAUGAACGCAGGCAGCGGUGUUUGGUCGUCGAGUUCAUGCCCCUUGCAUGGGGACCUGCAUAUUAGGCCAGUUGUGGCUGCCAAUAAACAUAUUCCAGCUUGUACUCCCAGAACUAUGUGUUGUCUGGUUACUGGGAGGGGAAAGGGCUACUCUUUAAUCACUGUUCCAGUGUGGAGGAUUCAACGGGGAAAGUCCGUGUAAGGACUAGAGCUCCCAGGACUGAAUGUCUUCCAGUGCCUGGGGGUGUCUAGAGUGAAUUCCCCAUUCGGCUCCAGGAGGGAGCGGUUCCAGGACCCCAGUCAAGCCACGGUGACUGAGGGCUAGAGUGCUGAGGUUUGUCCCCUGUUCCAGCUAGGAAGCGGUCCUUGGUGGAGGUACCCAGCCAGGGGUACAGAGAGCUCCGUUACAGAUAAAUGUGACUGAACUAAGUCAAAUUUGUCUUGUUGAAUGUAUUUAUAUAUGUCUUGUCCACCCUUUGCACAGCACUGUGGAAUAUGUUAGCACUAAAUAACGAUAAUAGAAAUAAUGAUAGAACAAUACAGGGGCAAUAUUCUAGAAAGGGUAAAGGUGAGCUACUGAUCUCAGUCACUGUAUUUCUGAGUGAAGGUCCAUUAUGGAUUUUUACUUGCCUUGGAGAAGAUAAUAAUAAUAAUUCUUCAUUUGAAACACAGAAUCAGUCACACCACUAUGUAGAAAUUAUACUUUAUUCAUCCUUUUAUGUAAAUAACAAUCCUUUUAUAAGAUAACCCACAGUGUCGUUUUGUUUGAUGCCAGGCCCGAUGAACUCAAAUGCAGUGACACUAGGUUAAGGAUCUCGAUUUGAAUCCCUGUUAACCUUACAUUUUGCAAAUAUAUGUUAAUUCAUAUAUGUUAAUGCUGCUUAGCUAAUAAUAGUAGGCUCUCUUUCUAAUAAAGACGUGAAACUCAGUUGUAGUUUUGUAUGCAAGCACUUUCCCACAAAGGACAACAUAUAGUACCCUAGCAUGGUAGUUAUGAUUGCAGAAUAGAUCAUAUUAUUCCAAUCUAUAUCCACAGGACUGAGUUUACAAGCUGCAAGGAACACAUUACCACCAGAAAGCCAGGAUGAAUGCAAGCUAGGAAAGCCAUCCUACAUGUUUAAAGGGACACUCAAGAAGAAUGUGUCAUUUUAUUUUACUUUUUAAUUUAAAAAAUGUACAGAAUUCAAUAGAAAUUGUCACUUUUCUAAAUUAGUCUUGUUAGACCCCAUUGGCUGUCAAACAGACAAUAGGCAAUGUUACUUUCUGGUUGUUAAGCUCAGUGGAGCAAGACUCAAGAGGCAGCAAUUGCCCAAAUCACCUGCCUUGCAAAGAUUUCUCAUUGAGCUGAAUUGGGAAGUCUGUGAUUGGACAGUCACAGAAAGUCUGUGCUUUAGAAUGGGAGGGCUUGCCAAUGCUGCAGACAAGAGAUUUGCAGCUUUUGCAAGCUGUUUUUGGAUAUAACCCUAAUGUAAAAAUGCUUAAUUAAAUGCAUACAUAUUUUCAUUGGCGGUAUGUUUACUAAACAGUGAAAUUGUAUUUCUUUAAUUUGGAUAGUGGAGUGUCCCUGUACACAGUUUAGUAACAAUGUUACCACUGAAAGCUAGCUCACUUUGCCCAAUACAGACUCUGGGCAGAUCUACAUCUUAUAAGAUGAGAUAUAUAUAUAUAUAUCUAUAUAUAUAUAUAUAUAUAUUUAUACACACGCACACAUUAUAUAUAUAUAUAUAUAUAUAUAUAUAUAUAUAUAUAUAUAUAUAUAUAUACACACACACACGCACACUCAAUAUAUUUAGGGUUAGUUAGAAAUGAAACAGAUCUGGCCGAAACAACUAAGAUUUUAACUGAUUGAAGGCCAGCCUGCUAAUGAUGAAAUAUAUAUGACCAGUGAAUUAAACACAAUCUUCGUUCAGGUAACCAUAUUUUUUAAUGAACAGUCCAUUUCACAAAUGGCAAUAUGGUAACCAUAAACCGUUUAUCAACAAGUUUGUAAAUAGACAUAUGUUCUAUUACUCUAUUCAUCAAAUUGCUCUACUCAAUACCAUGGAAUAAUAAGAAUAUAGAAACAUAGAAUGUGACGGCAGAUAAGAACCAUUCAGCCCAUCUAGUCUGCCCAAUUUUCUAAAUACUUUUAUUAGUCCCUGGCCUUAUUUUAUAGUUAGGGUAGCCUUAUGCCUAUCCCACGCAUGCUUAAACUCCUUUACUGUAUUAACCUCUACCAUUUCAGCUGGAAGGCUAUUCCAUGCAUCCACUACCCUCUCAGCAAAAGUAAUACUUCCUGUUAUUAUUUUUAAACCUCUGCCCCUCUAAUUUAAGACUAUGUCCUCUUGUUGUGGUAAUAUAAUGCUCUAUUACCAAAUUAUGCAUUAUGUUUUAUCUAUAUACAGUAUGUGUUAGCUGGGGCAAAAUUUAAUAUUAAUGUUGUAACGGACCGUUUUGCCCAAAAGAGGUUAAAAACCGUUUAGGUGAUAUUCCCCCUUUUCAGCUGCACACAGGGCCAGAUUAAGAGCCCAGUGGGCCUGGUGCUGACAAUUAUGACGGGCCUAAUUACAGAAUCAUAUCGACCAAAAACAGUAAAACACUCCCAAGCAUCAUGUAUCUGAUGGAGAUGGUUCUGGAGAGAAAGAAAACAGCAGCUAUAAGAAAGCACAUACCCUAGGCUAAUCUCUCACUAAUUUAUGUUUUCAUCUUUCAAGUAAAUCCAUAACCCCUAACAGCAGUGUCCAGUCAAGUAGGAAGUCAAUGGGCAUGGUAAAAGGGUGUGCCACUGACACAAAUCACAUAACCUGCCAAAAGGGGCGAACAUGCCCAAAAAGAGGACAUGUCUGCUCAAAAAAUUAGAAGACCAGCCUGGCAUGUCAGGCUGCCUGCCAAUCAUGCAGCUGGCCAACUAAGGGCAUACUAUGCAGACAGCACCCUGAGCUUGGCAUAAAUGCAUCUAAUGAUGCGCUCACUCAACGCUUUCUAAGGACUGUCCCCUAGCACUCGCUGGUCCACUUGUCUCCUUACCUUCUUACUAGCAGGCAGAAGCUCCUGGUAUAUGGUCCGGGACAGAGAAAAGCUGUAUGUAGUGAGUGUAGAAGAAAGGGAACAUGCCACCGUGUUAGAGAGACCAAAGUCAGCAUUACCACAAGCAUGAAUUCAUGACCCUAUAGUGUUAACACCACCAUCUAGCCCCCCUGGGCCCCUCAUGCCUCCAUAAAUAUAGCAAAAUCCUACUAUAUUCAAGCCUGAAGCUGUAACUCUGCAUGCUGUUAGACUCAUAAAAACAAGCAGUCUGCUGACAUCAUUAGAAGUGGUGGCCUGAUCCAAUCACAGUGCUUCCCCAUAGGAUUGGCUGAGACUGACAAAGAGGCAGAUCAGGGUCAGAGCCAGCAUGAUUCAAACACAGCCCUGGCCAAUCAGCAUCUCCUUAUAUAGAUGAAUUUAAUUAAUGAAUCUCUAUGAGGAAAGUUCAGUGUCUACAUGCAGAGGGAGGAGACACUGAAUGUUUGGAUGCAUUUUAGGCAGCCAUGACCCAGGAAGGAUCUCUAACAGUCACCUAAGGAGUGGCCAGUGAAGUUAUCACUAGGAUGUAAUGUAAACACAGGAUUUUCUCUGAAAAGACCAUGCUUACAGCAAACAGCCUGAUGGUAAUGAUUCUACUCACCAGAACAAAUUCAAUAAGCUGUAGUUGUUCUGGUGACUAUAGUGUCCCUUUAACUAUAUUCAUUGUCAGCUAGUCCACACAAGUUUACAUCCCUCUUAAGUUUCCAUAUUAAGUAAGAGUAUGUGAAAAGUAGUUAGGGUUGCCACCUUUCUUGGAAAAACAAUUUGCAUAAUUAAAUAUGUAUGGGUGACAUCACAUGAUGUAAAUCACAAGGAGUGACAUAAGAGAAAAUGCUGUAAAAUCACCAAAAAACUAUUUAGUUUAAAUCUGCUGAAAAGAUGGAUUCCUCCCAGUGCCCCCAUAUGUCGAUUACUCCAGUCCUCAGUGUUCCUAUAUAUCAGUGUCUCAGUGCCCCAUGUCUCCCAGUGUCCCAAGUGUCGUGUCCCCAGGCCUCCUUUUUUGCCUUCCCUCUGUAUCAGUGUCUCAAUGCCCUAUGUCUCCCUGUGUCCCCAUGUAUCCCGGGGUCCCCAUGUCACUAGGACACUAGGAAGACGGGGAGACCUGGGGACACGGGGAGACCUAGAGACACGGAGACACCAGUGACACUGGGAGACUAGGGGACUCUGGCUGGGACACAUGGGGACAAUGGGAAAAUAGGGGACACUUGAAGACAUGGGGACACAGACACCAGGGACAAAGAUACUAGAGACACUGGCUGGGGGACAUGGGGACAUUGAGACAUGGGGGCACUGGGAGACAUGGGGACACAGACACCAGGGCCACAGACACUAAGGACACUAGCUUGGUGACAUUGUGACACUUGAGGCACUGAGAGACAUGGAGGCACUAGGAGACAUGGGGACAGUGAGACACUGGCAGAUUGGGGGCACUGGGAGACUAGGGGUCACUGGAAGACUAGAGGCACUGAGACACCAGGAACACUGGCUGGGAGACAUGGGGACACUGUUGCAUAGUAAUUUCCAUUUAUACUGAGAAAAAUACCAGCAUUUAUAUUGCCAGUAUCACUGCAAUAUUGGCACCAGCCAGGCAGCCUCAAAUACUGGCUGUGCCAAUAAAAUAAAAGCCAGGUGGAAUCCCUAAGAGUAGUGUGUGAAAAAAAUGUAAAAAAAAAAAAAUUUUUUAAAUCAAUGGGCCUAUUCCAUGGGCCUGGGCCUGGAGCUGCAGCUCCAUCAGCCCCUAUGUUAAUCCGGCCCUGGCUGCACAGACAGCUACUGCAAGCACCAAUCUCCUGAACUGCAAACCCACGAAUUCACCAACUCCCAAACUGGAGACACACGAAUAGCUGCUAGCAGACGAACAGGAAAAGCCCCCAAACGGCUUACACUCCUGGCAAUCAGUCUCUAACAGCAUCCAGUAAAUCCUCCCCCCCAAUAAUGAGACGACACUUCACUUUGAGGGUUAAGCAGGAACUGAUUUACUGGGGCUAACUGCCCGGCUUUUAUGCAGGUCUCCCACCUGGUGGACACUCCCCUAGGGGACCAAAUGGGAGACUGGGACACAAAGGGUAAAAGGACUAAUCACAGACUUACACAUUUCAACCAUCCCACAAUGCAUCACAAUCCCCCCUCUUUGCUCUGGAGAUAAUUGAGAAGUAAUUCAAUGAUCUCCAAAGACAGAGGCAAAACUCCAUUAACAACAUGGCAGAAAACAAACAGUAAAAGACAUAAAAUUACCUACAGUUACAUUCAGUACAUAAAACAUAUACGUUCUACAUAUCCCCAGAUAGCUCAGGUCUGAGCGCACAUUAUUAAGCGAAUGGCGCUCAGACCACACGAAUACAGUUUAAUCGCCAUGGAGCCAAAGUCUUUACACAGUCAGUUUCAUGCGAAUGGGCUCCAUGGGAUUCCUAUCUGGGGCACAACACACUCAAACAAAUCUACCGAACACCCGGCAGAAAAGCACGAAUAAGUCUUUUCUGCAGGAAAAAAAGAUGUAUUUUAACAUGGGGCCAGAGUCCAAAGGCAGCAUGCGAGCAACCAGGCUUCUCCAGUGUGUAGUGGCGAGGUUGGUUUCGCCACAAAUGUGUACAUCUACUUCUUGUGAAAGGAGAUAAAUAAUUAAUCUAAGAAUAAACAGACAUCUCAUCCCCCCCCUGCACAAAGUGAUAAAUAAAAUAAAGGACAACUUCCUAAUGGACAAACUGACAGCGCAGGUGCGUCAUACCACUGCCUCCUUUAUCAACGUGUGGCAACCAUGGGAGGACUUCCUAACAAAAAUACCCGUAACCCGUAAACCCACACACAGGGAUCUGAGCGGAACACAGGAACCUCCGCACGGGGCCAGUGAUCCCGGUGCCCCCCCUUCCUCUCCCGCAUCCCAUGCCUUUCUUCUUUUGCCCUUCACCCCAUUCUAAACAAAACAGCAGUUCAGAAUGGAGCGAACCACUAGAUGGGCACACCAAGACAGAAGUUCCCCAACAACUGGAACACAGUGCGGCAGUCCAACAAGACUCUAAAGUAGAUGACUCCACGAAAUGUAUCACCAUAGGCCACUUUAUACGUCAAUGUAUAAGAUUAGCAGCAAACACAAUUAUGGCAAACCGUUCUGUAUACCUGAUAUGUGUGCAACAGAUAUGCAACGCUACAUUCUUGAACUCAAAAAUAAAGAAGUAUAAAAAAAUAAACAGACAUCUGGGUUUUAUUUUUUUUAUUUUUUUAUUCUUUAUUUUUGUGCGCAUAUAGGCUUAACAGACUUGCUUGUGGUACCCCAAAGGUAUUCCACUCGCUUAUAUCAAUGGCAUUUGUUACAGUGGGGCAUACAGAGACAUGUGCACAUUUUUAUAUUUUAAGUGAAGUUAAGUACUGAAAAUACAUGAGUAAUAGUAAAAUAUGCGUCUAACAGGUACCUUAGACGUGACAUUGCCGUGAGGGUUUUAUUUUUUUUAAGGAAAAUAUUACAAACAUUAAAGGAUUACUUUAACCGUAUUUUGUUAUUUGUGUUUAUAGAGCAUUAUUGGGCACACGUCACUCCCCUUACUUUUUGUGAAGAAACAUUGAAAAUAAAGAUUUUUAAAAAAACUUACCUUGAAUCCAGUGUCGAGCCAUGUUCAUCACAUUGGUUCCCUCUCUGAGGUCCAUUCAAAUGCUUCUAAUAGAGAAACAUUGUUGGACUUUGGUUGCAUGUUCAAUGCGCCGGGCAUGCGCCAGUCAACUUCUUCUGACAAAGAAGCAUUGAAUCCAAUACUUCUCUACGAGUAGUGGAUGCUCAGCAUUUAUAAGCAGCAAGAUGAGCCGAGUGACCCACCCACCUCCCAAUCCCGACGUAACAGAAGAGUGUAAGGAGGUAGGAAUGCACGAAGGGUGGGGUAGAUAUUUAACAGAGCAAGUGGAGUAAAAGAAGGUAGGGAGGGCUUCACAUUGCAGGCGCUUUCAUAGCAAAGAAACUUAUUAAGAGGGCUUAGUGAAGGUAAGUUUCUAUUCCAUGGUUUCAUUCUUUUUUUUGUUAUGUUAAUAUUAUCACAAUAAAAUGAAGUUCUCAGUUGGAAUAAAACAGCAAGAAAUAAGUUGCGGGUGUUAAAAUGUUCAAUGAUUUUUUUAUAAUUGUGGUUUACUAAUUCCCUGCAAAGCGUAUUUACUAUACUCAGUGCAAGAAUUUUUAGAUACACAGGCGAAGAUGCAUUUUGCAGCCCAGUCCACCACCCCAUCCCCAAAAAAAUCUGUAACUUAAUCCCACUCUUGAAUUUCUUACUUUUUUCCUUUGUGUUUUACACUCCUCCGUGUGCAUCUUACGUCCCUCCAUCCCUUUUAUGUGUCUCUUACUCCCCUUCAAUCCCUUUAUGUGUCUCUUGUUCCCUGCCACUUUGUGUAUCUCUUUAUUCACCCCAACCCCUUUGUGUGUCUCUUUCUCCACCCCAGCCCCUUUGUGUCUCUUUCCCUCCUCCAGCUGCAAUGUGUCUCUCCCCUUCACCACCCCUUUAUGUCUCUUUCUCCCUUUAGCCCCUUAUGUGUAGCUCUUUCUCCCCUUCCCCUCUGUGUGUCACUUCUCCCAGCACCUUGUCUCUUUCUCCACACAUUCCCUCUGUGUCUCUUUGUCAUUGUCCCUAGCCCUUCAUGGUGUCUCCCCAGCCCAUGUCUGUCUCUUUUUCCCCUUCCCCAGCCCCUGUCUGCCUCUUUUCACCCUUCCCCAGCCCCUCUGUGUCUUUUUGUACUCCCUAGACCCUCUGUGUCUCUUUCCUUCUCCCUAGCCUCUUUUGUGGGUCUCUUUCUCCCCUUCCCAGCCCCAUUUGUGUCUCUUCCCCCCCACAGCAGAUUAUCUUUUCUCCCCAGCCUCUCUUUGUGUGUGUCUUUGUGUGUGUCCCAAUCCCUCCAUGUUUCUUAUUCUUAUUCCCUCCAUUCCAUGUGUCUAAUUUCCUCCCCUAGCCACAUGUGUGUCAUUCCCCUAGUCCCCCCAUAAGUCUCAUUCCCCUUGCCCCAUACCAUGUAUCUCAUUCCCCUUGCCUGUCACGUGUCUUAUUCCCUCAGUCCCCAUGUGUUUUAUUCCCCUGACCCUCACAUGUGUCUCAUACCCUAAGCCCCCCAAUGUGUCUUAUUCCCCCAGCCCACCUCCCUGCAUGUGUCUCAUUUCCUCCCUCCCAGUGUGUCUUACACCCUUUCCCCUUCCCUCCAUGUCUCUCCUCCCCUUACUUCUCUGUAGCGUGGCCAAGCUGCGGACUGGGAGAGAGGAGUUUCAGGAACCUCUUCCAGGUCUGACAGGAAGCAGUUCGGCACUUCCUGCACACACUUCCUGUCAAACCAGGGUAUAGGUUUCUGACGCUUCUCUCCCCUGGGCCACGCUACACAGAAGUGACUGGCUGGAGAGGAGCGCUGUUCUGUGCGCUCCUCUCCUGCUGGUCAGCCAGGUCGUUGUCAGGGAUCUUACCUGAUGUGGAGUACGGUAUGCAGAGAUAUACGCUCACCCUUGCAAAUAAACACAGACCAAGGUGACCAGAUAAGAAACCACCUGGCCUGUGGGUCUGUGCACGGAGGCUGUGCAGGUUUUAGCUCCAAGUCACAGUGCAGGCAAGGACACAAGCAGGAGGAUUGUCGAGGAGAAGCCAAAGUCAGAGGAUGCCAGAGGUCAGGAUAAAUGAGGGUAAGCCAAAGUCAGAGGAUGCCAGAGGUCAGGAUAAAUGAGGGUAAGCCAAAGUCAGAGGAUGCCAGAGGUCAGGAUAAAUGAGGGUAAGCCAAAGUCAGAGGAUGCCAGAGGUCAGGAUAAAUGAGGGUAAGCCAAGGUCAGAGGAUGCCAGAGGUCAGGAUAAAUGAAGAUAAGCCAAGGUCCGGAGCCGGCUGGAGAACACUGGAUCAAGAACACAAAUACAGGAACCAGAGUCAAUGAAUUGACAAAGUUCCCAGGCCGAGGCAGUGCUAUUAUACCCAGCUAAUGAUGAUCUGCUACAAGUGGGCUAGAUAGACAGGAGCAGCCACGGGUAAAGUCCAGCCCCCAGUGCUGGAGGCAAAGGCAAGGAUAAACAUAAGGCAAAAAUAAUAACUGAAGUGUUGCCCAGAGGCAAGAUGGCAAGACUAGGACACAGAUGGACCACAGUUCAAAUCCCCUGUUGGGCACUUCUGGGGUGACCAUGUCUGGCCAUCUGGAUGUUACAGUGCAAACUGUGUCAGUUGUACACCCCCCAGGGCCGGUGCACCUCACGGUGGCCACAUGUGCUGGCUUAUGGUAGCUAAGGCACUGACUAUAUUGUGUCAAUAGUCCAAUAUGUUGGUAAUAAAAAGUACUAUACUAGCCACUGAGAACUAGUUCGUGUAUAUUCAAAUAUUCACAGUGGCCACUUCAUUAGGCACCAUCAGCUCUUAAAAGCAGUACUGUCAUUUUUGGGGUCUGUAUAUUUUGCAAAUAUGGCUGAAGGUAACAUGCCCACUUGUACUGCAGCAAAUGAGGUGAGGGAAAGAUAGAUAGAUCUAUUCAUUUCAAGAAAAAAUACUUGGGCGUUGUGAAUUUGAAUAAUACCACUAAAAUUAAUAGUUUCUAAGAGAUAUCAGGCAUCUGCAAAAGGACCUGUUUUGUUUUUAAACAGAGUGCCUUUUCGGUUCACAUUAAAUGUGCAAUUUCUGCAUUUAAAACUGUGAGCUGGGGCACUAAAAAUGACACAUGAAGCAAAUUAACACACUUAUGCUAUGAUCGAACAUCCCAAUGUAGCUAUUUGCAACUGUGACCCUCCACACACUUCAGGGGGCACAGAACAUUACAAAAGGAAAAUUCACAACCUUAUGGGCCAUAUUUUGCGUUUUUCCCAAUUAAGAAUUUGGGUAAAAGAAAAUAACAGCAUAUUGUCAUAAACAAUGAGGGGCUGUUAUCCGGGGAGGAAAAGGAAUAGAAUGUGGAGCUAUCUUGCUGUGAACUGCACAUGACAUUUAUUUAAAAAGUAUAAGAGAACUUAUUCAUUGUUUUCCACGAACAAGACAGGCACACAGGUAAAAAAAAAAAAAAAAAAUAUGAAUAACUAUACACAUCACCAUUUAUUUAUAACAUUUUGGAUCAUCAUGCUCAGCUAAGAGUUGUAGCAAUUUAUAUUAUGUCAUUUUUUUUUCAAGGCAAUAAUAUUUAUAGACACAAUUAGUCAGGUUAGACAAUUGUUAGAAAUUAAUCAGAGAUUUAUUAUUUGCCUUUCUCUAGUUCUGUAAGGAGCAGCCUGAAUAUAGCAAUUAUGAGAUUUUAAAGUUUGAUAACUUAUAGGGGGGCUGUAAGUCUUCUGGAAAUGCCACCACUGAAAUCACUUUUAGCUUGUAUGAACUUUUUUAUUCAUCUGAUGUGCUGCUUGUUGUGAAAUGGGAAUAAAUCUUUCUAGCAAUUUAGUCGAUAUACACCCAUGAAUACAUUAAUUUAGUGCUUUUUGCAGAUUUCCUUUGGGUGUAAAUGACAUUUUAUUUGGCAAUAGUUGCAGAUCUAGUAUGUCAGGCAUCAACUUCCUCUUUCUUAUCUGUCUCACAGAGAAGCCAUGAGGACCAGCCUUACAUGGGCAUGGUUGUAAAAUCACAGGCUUCUCAGUAGGCUGUAUUACAGCUCACUGAUAAGUCUUUCAAAGGGAGGCACUCUGAGGGACAGCCUGGGAGGUCUAACAGGACUGAAAUAUAAAAGUACUGAUUUCUAUUGAUAUGUGCUUGAAGUGUUCCUUUAAAGAUUUAGUAAUUAACAUCACAAUUCAGUUCAGACUUGGCACAACCAGGACACACAGUGUAUUGUUUGAGUUAGUGACACAGAAACAUUGUGUUCAGUGACAAAAAUGGAAAGAUUUGAUAACAGCGAUUGACAGGGAACCAAGAUGUAGUCACACAAUCCUAGGACAGAGCUAAAUAUAGAGAGUGGAUUUGUACAUUUAAUUUAGUUUUUCAGAUUUCACAAUCAUAUAUUUGUAAAACUGAGCGGUUGAGUAAACCAAAUAGUAAAAUUCAUAGGAAGUAACAACCCCCUUUUAACUCUUUCACACAGCCUGAACUAAUUAAAAAGCUCCAAAAACUCACAAAGAGUUUUGGCAGGUUUUAAUUCUAAGAAGCAUAACGAUAUGGGGAUAUAUUAUUACUGUUUGAUCUAAGGCCAAAUAUAAAUAUUAUUAAACAGAUUCUUGUAUGAGAAAAAUAUGUGUUGAAAGAUAAAAGCAUUCGUUAUUAAAAUAUAAUAUUUAUAAUUUAAUACAUUUAUUAAUCAAAGCAUUUAAAACCCUGGUGUGCCAAGUUGUGAGCAAUAUAUUGCAAAACAUUAAGCAACAUUAAGCAGAAGGUAUAGGCAACAGGACAACUGGCUCAGAGAACCCUGUCCUGCAGAUAUAAAUAAGACAUUCUGUGCUUAUUGUAUGUCAAUACUGCAAUAAAUGCCACAGAUCCCAAGCUGUAAAAGGUACAUUGCUAUUUGCUUGCUGUUAACGACGAUUUCAUUGAAAACCUAUAAAACUGAUGAGGGAUUGACGUAUAUGGAAUCGAGACAUGUAAACACAUCCAGGGCCAACUCAGUAAUGCCUGAUUGUGGAGGGUAAAUGGGCAGUAAAGGACUGUCCGCUUAUUGAAAUUUAAAAAUACUUGGUAAGCUGUUUAAAUGUUAACAAUUACACGGAAAAAGCUAAUUGUUUUCCUUUAUUUUUAUUCUGUCUGUUGUCAAACAUUUAAAGUAAACACAGAAGGACACUAAUUUUACAGGUGUUAGGGGUGUGUGGCCAUGGGCGGGAUUGUUCUGAGAAAUGUUAGGUGACUAGCUAAUAACAAUUUAUGCAACUAAAAUGCAAUUUACAACAAGAACAAUGUAUCUUAUUUACACAGGCUGAUUUCUAAAACCAUAUAUUUUAAUUUAAAGACAUAUUAUUGUGAGUAUUACUGCAGUGGAGCUCUAGUAGAAAUGCAAAAAUUACACUUGCAGGGUUAAGGGUGAUGGGAGUUGGCACCCAGACCACUCUGUAGCGGAUGGCCCUGGGCUGUCCUGAGAAUUUCAUGUAUUUUAAUGCAUUCGUGUGAAAACAGCAAAGUUCUAUGUAUUUAAUGUAUUGUAUUCGUCUGAAUGUUAGGUAGUUUCAUUCCCUUAGUUUGUUCGAAUGAAACUACCGAACAGUCAGACCUCCCCUGUGUGAAGUGUGUCCUCAAUUACCCGUUGCAACAUUGUUGCGAACGGGUAAUUGACAAGUUAAGUAGCCGUCCUUUGUUCUCGGGGGUGGCCGCCAUUCGAAAAACGAACACGUGGCGGCGGCCAUUUUAAAACUCCCGAACAGCGGUGUUUUGCCGUCGAGUGUCUGGAACUCAAAUCGGACACUCGACUAGGCGAACACCGCUGAAACCUCCACAAGCCCGGUCCGUUCGGUUCCUAACUACCGAACGGCCCCUCGUUCGGUAGAUAGAAAGAACCGAACGAGGGGAUUCAGGCGAACCCUCCCUAGCCUCUAUAGCUAGAGGUUUUCGUGCCAUUUAUUCCCUGACUCCAGGACCGACCGCAGGGCCCAUUCACAUGGAACCGCAUUCGGCUGUUUCACCCAGUGCGGUCGGUCAUUUUAUUCCCUCCAUAAAUUUCCCGAACCCCUGGUCUGAUCUGGGUGAUUUUUGGAUAUGUUGUUCACCCAGAUCAGGGCUACCAGGGGAUGUAUGAUUUAAAGUGGUACCCCUAAGUUUAGGGGUACAUCCAGAAACGGGGGGAAUUGGUGUCCUGGAUAAGGGGAUUAUGAUGCAGGCUGAGGGGAGGAGAGGUGUGGGAGGUUAUCAGAACAGGAUUGGCUACUGUACUAAUGAAUGAAAAUCCCUCCCUUGCAUGGGAGCAGGCUUUAAAAGGCCACUGUCUGAAUAAAGCUUUAGUUAUGCUCCUGAAACUGUGUGUUGUCCAGAUAUUGGGAUUGCUGUUGGGAUACUGCUGUUAUUUUGCCUGCUGGAUACUUUACUCUAUGGAUUUAUAAUUGCUUGUUCCUGAACCUCCCUGGGAUCUAAAGUGGAGAUAGGCUGUGUAAUACCAGCUCUCCGCUACACACUCCAAUGGGCAGAAGUGGUCUGGGUGCCUGGACUCUGGAGUGUCCCUUUAAUACAUGAUCUGUAACAGAAGUAACUCCAGAACCCCUUUUCUCUCAACACAUUUCACUAGGUUGUGCCCCGAUGGAAUAUUUUCUGUAAUUUACAAAUAAAAAACUAAUUAAAAUGAACAUGGAAUAUAUUUACUUUUACUUACAAAAAAAAGAAAAGAAAAACAAAAAUAACUAUAUAGUUUUAAAAAAACAAAACAGAUUCUGGAUACAGUUUGACCACCAACUUAAGCAGCCACAGUAUGGGUUUUCCCUAAAACGGAAUCUCUUUUCUAAAGGGUUCUAUGGUAUAUUUGAUGGUGGUUCCCUUAAGUGCGCUGUUGUUGUUAUGGUUUUUUGGAGUGUUCCUUUAAAACAGGGGUGCCCAAAAGGUAGAUCCCCAGAUGUUGUAACACUACAACUUCCAUGAUGCUUUGCCAUUAUAAAACCAUUCUAAAGGUAUGCAAAGCAUCAAGGAAUUUGUACUUCUACAGGACCUGGGGAUCUAACUUUUGGGUACCCCUGCUUUAAAUCUUACUUUUACCUGUCUACAAUGGUGGUGCUACUCAUAUCUAAAUAUAAAAGAAUGCAGUUCUUUUGUUAUUGUUGAUACAUAUGUACAUUGUCUCACACUACUGGAUUGCAUACCUUUUUCUGUUUUGUUGAACUGCACAACACAAAAAAAACAGAUAUUGAAACAAGACAGAAAAUACAAAAUCUGUGCUCUAGUGAUACAAAAAAAAAGAUAUACAUUAAAAUUUAGCUCAUUUACUUACAGUGAAAUAAUGCAAAUUCAUGCAAAUGUCUAAGAUGGAAACUAGAGAUCAGGGAUGACAGAUUGGCUCUGCAUUAGGAUAUGCCUAUGGGCACUAUAGAACUCAUCACCUUGCACUCUGGUAGUCAUAUAUUGCACAAACACAGUAGUAUGUUUUAGUGCAUAACCAUGACGGUAAAAGGUUCUGCUGUGUAGACUUAGACUGGUACUUUGAAUAGAGCAACUUUGAUGGGAAAAGGGGGUAACUGCUCUCAUUGGAACUGUGUUUUGGCUUGUUAUGAGCUUUUUUUUUUUUUUUAAAGGGACACUGUAGGCACCAUAACCACUUUAACAUAUAUAUGUGAUUAUGGAGCCUAAGGUCACUGCAGUCACAAGUCCAGCAGCCUAGCCUCCAAUGAUAAUAUUGUGUAAGCGCUGCUAUAUUAGAGAUUGGGGCAGUAAUAAAUGGCCCUCAGUUGAUGCUCUCAGCUUAUCACUGCCUGCUAUACACCUUAUGGCGUGAAGAGGAAAAUAGCUCCACCUUUGCCAUACUGUCACUGGAGAUUGGGCUGAAGUCUGCUUGGGACCAAUAAUCUGAACUAAACAGUGAGUGAACCGUUAAAUAGUGAUGUGGGAUCUAUAACCUCCAGGCACCAUAACUAUUUCAACUGUUGAAGUAUUUGUGAUGCCUAAAAUGUUCCUUUCAAGCUGGUAAUUAGAAAGCACUGCCACCAGAAGUGACCACAGUGACAAAUCCAAUGUACAAAGUGAUCUUUCUAAAUGUAGCUCUUGAUGUCCGUCAUCUAAGCUCUCAAAGUGUUAACACAGUUCUUUUCUAUAACUCUGUAGCCCUAACAUGCCUCUGGCUGGCAUUAAAGAUAUUAAGCAGAGCUCAUACUGUAAAUUAGAGGCGUUUCCUGCCUCUGCCAGAAAAUACGCUAAGUAUAAUCUGUACAAAGCAAUUCAAGACCAGAGGGGAAUUAGACACACUGGUGAAAAUAGAAGUGUGCUCUUGAAGUAAUGAAAUGAAAGUAAUCUUGAUUGGCCUCAUUUGCUGCAGUUCAAAAGCUGCCCAUCAUCACCAUGAAUGUAACAAGGGAUCAACCGGCGGUUAUUGCUGCGACAAAGUGCUUGUGGUUACCUAACACAGAACAAGUCAAGAACCCCUUAUUGUACACUCAAUAAUGGGUCCUCCAACUCUGACAGGAUAUAUGCUAUAAUUUUAAUUUCACAAAUACACAGGGAGGAUAGGAAGGUUAGUCUACAGCACUUCGGAUGUCUGAUGUUAACUCCUAUUAUCAUCUGUUCCCAUUUAUUUGCAAAACACUGUAACUGCCACCAGUAGAAGGGAAAUAACUUAUAAAGAGAUAGCGAUUCCUGUUAAUUUUUUUUUUUUAUUGUAAAAUUCUGAGUAGCCUGUGAUUGAAUAUUAAAUACUGUGCCCUAGAUAGGUGGUAAGAAGUGAAAAUACAUUAACCAUAGAGAAGGAUUCUUAAAAAGUGUGACAUAUGGAGCCCAUUAUAUUCCUUAGUCAAAGCUGGGAGUAAUAAAAAAUGUCAUAUAUUAUUCACUGAACUAUUACUUAACAUAAGGAAACAUACAGGACACCUCUCACCUAUUUAGUCAUAUGGAACACUUAUUUAAGUUUAACAAAUGACAAGACAAACUUCAACACUUUGUUUAUGAUUUUAGAAUUAUUGUGAUUAUAUUUACAUAAUGACACUCUUUUCCACAAGAUGGCAGCAUAAUAUUUAACAUGCAGAAACUGAGUGACACAUAGUCGUUAAGGCAUAAACAACAAUAUAACGGAAAGAGAAAGUAUAGUGCNNNNNNNNNNNNNNNNNNNNNNNNNNNNNNNNNNNNNNNNNNNNNNNNNNNNNNNNNNNNNNNNNNNNNNNNNNNNNNNNNNNNNNNNNNNNNNNNNNNNCCCCCACCCCCCCAAAAAAAAUUUUUUUUUAAAGGUUCUCUUUUUUUUUUUUUACAAUUUGUAAACUUUGCAAAACCGCUGUCAACCCCUCCUACAAAACCCUUGUCCUGUCCUGCCCCUCCUACAAAACCUCUGUCCUGUCCCUUCUACAAAUCCUGUACUGCCUCGUCUACAAAACCCCCGCAACCCCCUUCCACAAAUCCCCUGCUUAUCCCCCCUUAUAAAGACUCCUGUCCCAAUGCAAACCCCCCGCCCCCUUCUACAAAAUCCCUGCAGCCCCACACACACAUUUACAGGCAGACAGUCACACACUCAGUUACAGGCAGACAGUCACAUACAGUCACAGGCAGACAGUCACACAUACACAUUUCCUCCGUGCGGCCAGUUUAUCAGCUGUUUGCUUGUGUGAGCUGUACACGGCACCCUAACUACCAUGGGACACUGUGCGGCCACAGCUCACACAGCCCCCUCCAGCCAGGGCCGGUGCAAGGAUUUUUGCCGCCCUAGGCAAAAGUAAAGUUUGCCGCCCCCCCAUAUGACAUCACAAUGCCCCAUGUUAACUAACGCAAGUGCUGCAGUGCUGCCGUGUUUACAUUAAAAGGCCUGCAAGGACAGGCUAUAGACACCAGAACCACUACAUUAAGCUGCAGUGGUUCUGGGGACUAUAGUGUUUCUUUAAUGUGAGGUAAAUUAGAGCUUAGUGCCACGAAUAAUAUACUAGAUUGCCUACUUACAACCAGAUGAGGAUGAUGAUGGGCUCUAGCUGCAGUCUGGCUCCACUGGUGUGGUGCAGAACAGGCUCUCUGGAGGCAGUUUGUAACUGUGGUCACAAAAAUCAAUGUUCUGGGAGAACGGGAAGCAGCUCCAUUUUUUGGGGGGUCCUUUACACAGCUCAAGGUCUGGGUCCCAGGGUGCACCUUCAUGUUCCACCAAUGAGUUUGUUCACAGGGGUGGAGUGUGUAAGGGAUGUCCUGAUAUGUGUGUAAGGAAUGCAUUGUGUGAAAUUGUGUUUGUAUGUGUAAGGGCUGCAAGGUGUGUUUCUGUGUAUGUAUGGGAUGCAUUGAAUGUGUGUAAGGGGUGCAUUGAGUGUGUGUAAUGAAUGCAUUGUGAGUUUCUGUGUGUGUAAGGGAUGCAUUGUGUGUAACAGUUGCAUUGCUUGUGUAUGUGUGUGUGUGUGAUGCAUUGUGUGUUUUUCUGUGUGCAAGGGGUGCAUUGUGUGUAUGUGAUGAAUGUCAAUCUCUCCUCCCGCUCCAAUUUCCUUCUCCUCCUCCCAAUUUCUCUUUCUCCCCCCUCCUAAUUUCUCUCCCCCUCCUAAUUUCUCUUUCUCCCCCCUCCUAAUUUCUCUUUCUCACCCCCCUCCUAAUUUCUCUCCCCCCCUCUUAAUUUCAAUUUCUCUCCCCCUCCUAUUUUCUCUUUCUCACCCUCCCUCCUAUUUUCUCUUUCUCACCCCCUCCUAAUUUCUCUUUCUCACCCCCCCUCCUUUCUCUCACCCCCCCUUCUUUCUCUUUUCUCACCCCCUUCCUAAUUUCUCUUUCUCACCCCCUCCUAAUUUCUAUUUCUCUCCCCCCUUGUAAUUUCUCUCCCCCUCCUGUUCAAUUUCUCUCCCCCCUCCUAUUUUUCUCUUUCCUCACCCCCCUUCUAUUUUCUCUUUCUCGCCCCCUCCUUUCUCUCUCACCCCCCUUCUUUCUCUUUCUCACCCACCUUCCUAAUUUCUCUCUUUCUCACCCCCCCUCCUUUCUCUUUCUCACCCCUUCUUUCUCUUUCUCACCCCCCCUUUCUACAGAGCGCUCGGGCGGCUGCAGCAUGGGGGGGCCGGCGGGGCUGGUCAUGGCACCCCCCACCCUGGUGGCACCCGGGGCGGACCGCCCCCUCCGACCCCCGUUAGUACGCCACUGUUUUAACCUUUAACGUUUGGUGUUUGUAUACAUGUAAUUCAAUUAGAUAUGGGAUAUAUUACACUGGCUGGCACUGGUUAAUAUGUGGCUUGUAAUACAGUGCAUUAUAUAGUUAUAAGACAGCUUGUCUAUAGAUAGUGCAGUACUAUCCCUUUUUAAGCAAAACAGAAAGUACAACUUUCUGUUUUGCUACAAUGCCUUAUACUGUUUAUUUCUGACUUUGACAAUGUUCUUAGCUCUUAAUUUGGUACCCUACACCAAGCAUGUCAAACUCACGGGCCGCAUGCGGCCCACAAUGAAUAUUUUUGCGGCCCAGCGAGCUGCGAGUUUCACAUGUUAAGGCAGAGUAGGCACCUGCUCUCCCCACAUUGCAGGUGCCUACUCUGCUAAAAUUUACCUGGCCGGGGGGGGGAGAGGUCGCUGGCGGCAGCGAGGGAGCUCAGUCUGUUCUUCCUGCUCCCUCGUGUGCGCCUACUGUAGUGAUGCCAGGUGCCGGAAUAUGACAUCAUUCCGGCCCAGCAUUACUAAACUGCACGCGUGAGGAGCACGAAGGGAGACCCCUGGGAAAGGCCCCACACCAGCUCCCAAAGGGUAGGGAGCAAUAAAUAAAAUGAUUUAUGAGGGUGUGUCUGUCUGUCAGUGAGUGUGUGUGUGUGUUGGUCAGUGUUGCGAUGGCUGCGGCCGGACAGUGGAGGACCUGGAGGUGCACAGAGGCACGCAAUGCCACAUCACAUUCAGACGUGACGUCAACAUGCUCCACCUUAACAGGGUGUCAAGGAGUAGCAGGAGGAUCCGCUUUGGCACAGGGUCCAGAGUCGCAUACUGGCAGCGGCAAUGUGAGUGGAGUCUGCUUGUUGGCUAAUAUUAUUAUUAUUAUUAUUUUAAACAGGGGCCAUGGUUUAGUAGAGCCGGGUGCCGGGAUUUGGAAUAGAGGGGAGGUGGGGGCUGUUAUUUGGAAUAGAGGGGGGGGGGGAACUGGGGUUUAGUAUAGAGGUGGGUUCUGGGAUUUAGUAGAGGGGAGAACUGGGGUUUAGUAGAGGGGGAUUUUUUUUACAAUAUAUAUAUAUAUACAAACCUCCAAACUAAACUAAACUGGGGUUUAGUAUAUCAAUAGAAUCAAUCAGGGGUGAUCCAAAUUUGAGGUCCUGUCCGUUUCCUACACCAGCUCUGUUGGCUAGUGUCCCUGGUCUGUGGACACCAGAGAAUUUCCAACAGUGAGUGCAGCUUGAGCACAUUAUGUGCAGUAGAGCCGUGUAGAGUGCUAUCAAGACAUUUAGCCCAUGACACAGUACUUCAAAAGCAUUCUACAUUUAGCAGCUCUGAAUGGGGCUGACAUAUAUACGGUACAUUUCAAAAUAAACCUACGUUUCUAUAAAAAUGUAUGUUUUUGGGGGGGUUUGCGGCCCACAAAAAAACUUAAACCUUGUGUAUUUGGCUCGUGCUAGCCUUUGAGUUUGACAUGCUUGCGCUACACUAAUGGAUUUUGCAAUGUCUUUAUUGUAAUAUAUGAAGAAAUUAACUUGAAACUCCAAUUAGGUGAAAGAACAGUUGUAUAGGCAGAACUAGAAAACAGAGAUAAAAAAAUCAGCAGCGCAGAGGUAGGGGAAGCCACAACAUCAGUGCUGUCAAUAUACAGCAGACAGUGGAAAAUAUGUCAAGGUUAAAAAUCCGGUUUAUCAUGUGGUCAGGCAAGCCAGCCAGAGCAUAAUAUACAAUGAAAGAUACAGCACAACAACAUAAAGGAAGCAAAAAUCGUGAAAGGGCACCAUAGCAUCGUUUUAUACAGACUUUCCACAGAUGGCUGCUAGUUCCCUAUUGAGGGUGCCAGCACAAUCGUGGGGAUGUUGCCAAGAUGCAAUCAAGAGAUCAAGAAUUACGCAAACAGCUUGAGUCCUUAAUGUGUACCCCCAUGGUGGUCAAAUGGGAGGGCACAGACUGAACAAUACUGCUCUUUCUGUUUAUAUUAGGCCCUUUUUCUCUCUCUUUCCUGUUCUUAUUCUCCAACUCCCCUCGGCUCACUGUUCUCCCCUCUCGUCUAAUAACCUCCUACUGUUUGUUUGAUAGCACUCAACAGUUUGCAUUACCAUAUGCGAGUGCAAUAAAUGUGUAUGGCUUGAUUUUUCUCAAUAAAAUUGAAUGAAUUGCAAAAAAAACCCAAAAAACUGUAAAGCAACAGGAAAUGGUUAAACUAUUAAUUAUAACAAUCCACAGAUUUUACUAAAUGUUGUAAAAACAAGCAAGAAAUUAAGGAUUGCAAAUCAAAUAAAAAACAGGGUCACUUUGUGCAGUGGUCAGACUGAUUCACAUUGAGGUGCUGAUAAGGCUGGAGCAAUGAAUUAUUGCAUAUUCUAUAAUAACAGCAAGUAACAUGGCUCCAUUUUCUUGUCAAUGUGCUACGACUUUGUCUACAUAACAUGAUGUGUUUGUGUUUCUUUCCAGGACUGUUGAAAAAGUAAACAUAGUGGCCUGACCGGGUUGGUUUCAUUUGAACUGCUUUGCAAUGUAAAAUAAAAAAAAUAAAAUAAAAAAUACUACCCAUACCUUUCACAUAACCAUUCUCAGCACUUCUCUGCCAAGCAUCACUAUGCAUCGUAAAACACUAUUCUGCUGACGUGCUGCUUAGACCUCUACAAUUCUCUGGGUGUACCUCGUAUAGUUGAGAUUUGGACCCCUCUAUCAUCCCACUCUGAUUGUUCCCACUAAUUUCUAAGCACUUACUUGAAAGCAUAAGUUGUGUUGCACACUACACAUAAUGUCAAAGUGAUCCUGUCAUGGCAGUUUCAUAUAAAUGGAUAAGAGCUUGAAAAUGAAAGACAUUUAUAAUAAAGGUGCCUAUUUAAUAUAUGUAUUUGGUUUAGGAGGUGUUAACUGGUGUCAGACCACUUAUUAAAUCUGAUGCUUAAGUCUGUUUUUCCAUGCUCUCAUAACCAAGAGCAGCGUCGGCUACUCAUUUUCACUCGCCUCAUUCUGACUUCAAUCUGUCCUAAAACCAUGUAAGCAGCAACUGUUGCGCAUUUUUGUGUAUUUUAGUUGGCGUCUCUCUCAACGCAAAAUAUGUGCAAAGUGAUGCAAUUGGUGACACAAUGAUCUGGACCUAUUUAAACUCAUGUCUCCUCCUUUUCGUUGUUAGUGNNNNNNNNNNNNNNNNNNNNNNNNNNNNNNNNNNNNNNNNNNNNNNNNNNNNNNNNNNNNNNNNNNNNNNNNNNNNNNNNNNNNNNNNNNNNNNNNNNNNUAUUACUUAUAUGUAAUGCAUGUGCAAAACUAUUUUUUGCUAUUGUCUUUGUUUUGGAUUUCUACUAGACAUUGUUUCAAUUACAUCUAAACUCUUUAAAGACUGAUACGUAACAAUCCUACAACUUUACCUUUACUACACAAUGGAGAGAUUAAAGAGAGAAGUAUUGACAAGCGCAGGGCAAAUUGUGUGCUUUUUUUCUACACCUUGCAGUUAACUUUUCCUUUAUUUUCCAAUUCCUGGUUUAGUCAAUGAACCCACUUUUUUUUAUAUAAUAUUAAAGGUUGUCUUUUAGAAAUGGGAUUCACCAAAAUAUAUGACACUCGUACACCGCUAGUUUAUUCUACCUAAUGUGUACAGGAUUACAAAUCAGAUAUUGUGUCAUUCUCCUUAUAAAAUAUAAACAGAAGUGUCUCUGGAACCCUAAGGGUUAAGCCUUACUCUUAACGCCCAAAGAAAGAUAGAGACUAUAAACUCAACCAGCGUAGCUUCCAUCAAAACAGGGUCAGUAUAGAGGAUAAUUCUUUUUCCUCAGUCAGACUUACAGUUUGGGACCUUUUGCAGGCUUGUUAAUUAGUGACUGACGCAGAGUUCAUAAUCUCUAAACGGCCCUGACAUCUCUAUUAGCUGAAAUGUUAAUGUCGGUCUGCAACAGAAGAUGUCUAUGCAAACAGGAGGGGUUCCAAUCAUAAUACUGUUCAUGCAGACAAGUUUUCUCUUGUCAUAAAGUAGAGAGUUCAAUUAUUUCAGCAGGAGCCAAGGGGCUCCUUGUAGGGUAACCUGCUUGCAGCUGUAUUCUAAAACACCUUAUAAUUUGCUUAUGUGAUAUGUAUGAUACAUAAAUCCCACUCAUUGAUGCCUUACAAAAAAAAGACAAGUUAAGAAUUCAGUGGUCCACUAAUUUGUCCUCAAUUGUUAUUGUUUUUGUCAUGUGUCUUUCCAUAUGUAUGUUUGUAUUUUCAAAAUCUAUUAUUUGUAUUUUCAUGAUAAGCAAAGUAGUCAUGAAUAAGAAUAUAAUAUAGAAUCAAUAUGCUGGUAGGUUCCCUCUGCACGAGUGAUACAGAACCUAGAAAUUAUCAUUUUGCCAAAGGUCAGUUCUAAUAAUGUUAAUUUUGUAUGAUAUAUUCUUUUUCACAAACUAAGAAAAAGUUAACUAAAAAAAUAAAUAAAACAAUAGCUUAAUUGGAGAAUUUUUCUUAAUCAGCUAUUUUUUUAGCCUAAAUUUAGCAAAUUAAGUUUUCAGUUUAAUACAAUUUGGUGUUUAGUGAGUAAGCCCCUGUUUCUAUAUUAGUAAGCGGAAGUCCCCCUGACUAUGUCACGUUAUGCCAAAUCGGGACACACCGACAACCGUUAGAGUGCCAGAGCAAUUUCUAAUUCAUUCCUAAACAAUCCACUCUUCCUUAUAAUUAAGUAAACAAACCAUUAAACAGCUCAUAGGUGGGAAGGGGCAUAUCUGCAGCACUCAAAUAUUUAACAGGGAAAUAUUUUUGGUAUUUAUAAAGAUCUCUUGGAAUUAGUAUGCCCAUGGAAUGGACAGAGACAGGUGACCGUGCGAGGAUUUAAGUGUAGAAGCUAAUCGGCGCCACCUGCUGAUGAAAAAACAUAUUAACAGAUGUUUAAAUACAUUAACACCUGCCAUAAAAUUAAAGAUUUUAUCCUACCACAUUUAGAAAAAAAAUACUUUAGCAUUGUAUUAAUAAAGUGCACCUUAUGAUAAUACAUGUAUUAUUCUGCAUUCCCUGCAAUGCACAGGAUAUAUAUAAAGCUUAAGAAAAAGUUCUGCUUUGCCUCUAGAGAUUAUAUAUAUUUAUAUAUAUGUAAAAAAAAACAGAUAAAAUUUGUAUCUUGUAAUACCUUUUUUAUUGGACUAACAUAUAUAUAUAUAUAUAUAUAUAUAUAUAUAUAUAUAUAUAUAUAUUAAAUAACAGGAAUAGGUGGCUUCCCUCCAUGCCACUCCCAGAAUUAUAGAAGUAAUUGGCUGAGGACAAGGCAUAUUUUUGGAUUUUUAGUUAUCUUUCUUGUCUAAAGAGGUGGGUAGUGUGCGUUUCAUUCUUUGGCAUCUUGAGGUGGGGUUACGUAAUGUAGUGGAGAAUCUGUUUUAUGAAAUCAUAGGUAGAUGAGGUGGGAGAAUUCAAGAAUCAAGUGUGUUGAAAGGAGCAGAUAAAAGUAUAAACAGUGGAAUAAUUUAGGGAUUCUCAGAGUAAUAUGAAAUUUCAGAGGACACAAACGCUGCUUUAAAAAGAUGUAUAAACAUAUCUAAAGUACACAGUUGGUGCAUUCAGGAUGGCAAGGAAGAAGAUUAGUAAAAUAUGCCAAGCCCAAAGGGAAAGAAAAAUCGCUCAGCCAGGUAAUUCAGGUAAUUUUAUUUAACACCAAGAUUAAGCUAGAACAUACUGCAAGUUAUUUAGAAUGCGAGACUUACUCUAGGCAUUGCCUAUGAGUAAGCAUCCAGUGGUGUAAAACAUUUAAAGCUAAUGAUGGUUUUCUGAAUUCCUUCUUGUAUGUUCAGGAUUACACUCGUUAAAUAAAGUUACUUCAUCUCAUUUUAGUAAUAGUUUACUCCUUGAUAGAUAAAUAAAUACCUACUCAUUUUUGUAUAUCUUCUGGUUUCCUGCUUUUCAUAGUAUGUGGUGAUGACUACCUGAAGCACAAAGAGGAUUUGGAGUAACACCCCAGGAUUCUGAAGGAAGGCACCCCAAGGCGACAUAUCCAUCAAGUCUCUAGUAAAUGAAUUACUAUUUGUGCAUAUAUCUGUACUGUAUUACACUAUAUCAGUGUUUUUUUUCUGUAGAUCUACAGCUGUAUCCUCAUCAUUGUAUAUAUUGGUUUGCUGUUUUGAGGGAUACUACCUGGGAUAUCCUUAGAGGACGUUGUGCGUUAUUAUUUUAAGUUAUAUUUUUCUUUAUUCCACUCUGUUCACUUUGAGGUGAGGACCGUGAGGUUGUGGUAAUUGUACUGAUAAAUGCUUCAGCCUACAUUUAUAGUAUUUCUUUUGUUAAUGAAAUCUUGAGACUCUUUGAGCAUUUCUUCACCUGUCAGUACCUGUUCCUUUCAUACAUACUCAAACACUAUGAUUUCUAACAUUAACCCAUGCAACCAUGUAUAUUUAAAGGAACACUAUAGGGUCAGGAACACAAACAUGUAUAACUGUCCCUAUAGUGUUAAAAACACUAUCUAGCCCCCCUGGCAUUCCCUUGCCCCCCUAAAUAUAGCAAAACCUUACCAGUCUCCUGGUGCUGGCUCUGCCCCUGAUCUGCCUCCUUGGCUGACAUCAUCAAAAGUGAUGAUCUCAGACAAUCACAAUGCACGAUUCGCUGAGAUUGUCAAUUCUGAUGAUCACAGCCAAGGAGGCUGGCUGGGGCCAGAGCCAAAUACUGCCUUGGCCAAUCAGCAUCUCCUCAUAGAUAUGCAUUAAAAUAAUGCAUCUCUGUGAGGAAAGUUCAGUGUCUGCAUGCAGAGGGUGGAGACACUGAAUGUCAGUAUUGCAAACUGUACAGCACUGCCCUAGGAAGCACCUCUAGUAGCCAUCUGAGAAUUGGCCAGUGGAGGUCUCCCUAGGCUGUAAUAUAAGCACUGCCUUUUCCCUGAUUAUAAAGGAAUAAGGCCUACAGGGAAUGAGUAUACUCACCAGAACAACUACAUUAAGCUGUUGUUGUUCUGGUGACUAUAAUGUCCCUUUAAUCCCACAAUCUUACCUGAACUUUCAAACAUUCAGCAAUAUAUAUAUUUUUUCAUUUUUAAAUAAUAGAUAGACUGUGGUACAGUAACAGCAACUAAACAAUGCCACAAUGUGGAGCCAGAGUCUGUAUGACCAGACAAUGGUCAAGAUUCCACAGAGCACUUGUUUGGGCCCACUUAACUCUUCACAUAAAGAGGGUAAAUGGUGCCAAACAUGACCUCCAGUCCCUGGGCAGCUGCAUUAUCCUGCCUUAUGUGUAUGAUGCUGGUAAUUAAAGUCCGUUCAUAGGAGAUUCUGGGCAUGACAUAUAUAGUUUCCAAAAUAAUUUUCUUUACAAUAUUAUGGAUGCAUCCAUUAGUAGGUGUAGCAUUUGUCAUUUAAGUUCUUAAUAAAAGACUCAGAGGAAUGAUUCUUAACAUUCGCAAUCACUGUUUGAAUGACAAGAGAUAGCUACAGCAGACACAGAGAACUUCAAAGACAGGUAAUGCGCCACACCUGCUAUUUUAUUAAGCACAGUUUCUUCCCUUAACCACUACUAAUGUUUAAUGACAUCUGGCAAGACCGAGAUUUCAUGUACUGUUUCUGGAUUAAUGAGUAUAUGUAGGAGUAACUUAAAUUAUUGGGGAGCUGCACUGAUGUCACCUAACUUCUUCUGAGAUCUAUAAUGUACCCAGAUUAUGCUUCAGAUCUCAAAUAAAUCAUUUUAAUAGAUACAUUUGUUUCUAGGAAAGCAAUCUGGCUACUCAUAUGUCAGCCUUCACUCUUAAUGGAGCAAUUUUUCCAUGUAUAUUUUAAGAGGACUAAUUAACCUUGAAAGAUUCGCUGAGAAAAUUAAAGUGGUGUUCAUCUGACAAGAGAUGUAUAUUUGAAGAUCACAGUCGCUAGCAUAUGGUGCAUGUGGAAAAACGACAGAAAAAGUUUAAAUGUAUUAGUUGGCAGACCAAAAAAAAUUCUGACGUGAAACAUUUGACUGCAGGCUAAGGAGUGAGAUGAAAUGUCACUUGUGAUUUGCUAGUACCAUCCAUUUGGCAUGUAAAAUCCCCAAUUGGGGACGCAAUUUAAUGUUGACCUAUUAGCCAUGGAGCAAUAUAUCAUAUUCUAAACAUUUAAUUUUAACUAAAGAGAAAUUGUUACUACAAUAAAACUUUCACUCACAGGAUAGACUGUUCUAGAACUUGGAAUGUUGGAAUGUUGAUGCAAGAUUGGUAUAACUGCAAAGCUUUUUUGUUCUUUGAGAUAAAAUAAUGUAAUAUGCAAGUAUCAAUUCUGUAGAGGAAGUAAAAAAGAUAGCUGUAUAUCCCCAUUAUUCUACUUAUCUGUUAAUUAAAAGUUCUCAAAACACAAAAUAAUUGAGAAGACAUUUUCAAAAGUACUAGAAUGCAAAAGUAGACUUUGAGAUCAGACCCAGAGGAAAUCUCAUAUUAAGGAUCUCAGGUCACAAGAGGAGGCACCAUCAAAUUUACAAGUAGUUGAUAUCAUUAGCCAUGUCUCAGCAGGGUUAGAAAGCUAGAAAAAAAUAACUAAACUGCACAACUACAACCUCACUUGUUAAAUGAGAUGUUAAUUGACUGCUUACUGCACAGUAACCAGUCUGCCCUCCUUUCCCAACCUAAUGAGCUGCAAUUUACACCUCCCCAGAUGGAAUACGUUUGAGUAAAGAAAACAUAAUUGGCCCUUUUGCUACAUUUCAAAAGAACAACACAUGCCUUUGAGCUAUCUACUAAUAUACUCGGGAUAUGGGAUUUCUUUAGGAUUCACAUAUAUUGGAGCAUUUUCUACAUACUUAUCUGUCAUGUUAUUUUUAUAUUUCUAGAUAUAUGGAUUUUAUUUCUGAACAAGUCGCUACAAUUGCUUCCAUGUCGCACUAAAAAUGUUAUCCAUCAAGAAAAAUCACAAGGUGCCAGAUAAAUAUGAACUGUAACUACCCUAGAUAUUUAAUAUUAUAUUUACGUAUCUAUUAUAUUUAACAAAUAUGUGUUUGUAAGGCGAGUUAAAUAAAAUUAAAUAUAGAAAUUCACACCUAUGUAUUUAGCUGUAUCCGAAAACUGAGUGCCCCCACCUUGGUUCUCUGUUAAAGGAAUACUCCAGGCCAGUGGGGGAACUAAUGUAGACAGAGCCUUGAUGCAAGUUUUUUUGGGGGGGGCUCCCUCUAGCACAAGGGUGCGCAAUAGGUAGAUCCCUGUCUGUCAAACUCCCCUGAAGCUAUGCCAGCUGGGGAUUUACCAUUUGCCCAUCCUGGCAGGGUUGUAUUUGUGAGCAGUGUUUGUGCAUUUUAAUGUAAGCAUGUUUUUAGAUAGUGUACGUGUGUGCAUGUAGGGGUGUAUUUGUAAGUACUGUUACCAUUGGAAUGCAGUGGUGUACUUGAGUGUUAUGGUUGUUCCAUUAGAGAUGAAAAAAUUGGACAUCCAUUACACAAAAAGAUAUCUCAUAAAGAUAGUAAAAUAAUUAUUGGGUAUAACCUUUAUUAAGCCGCAUAUAGACAAAAAACAAAAAACUAUAAAGUGUAAUAAUAGUGAAAUACUUGUGAAAAAACAACAAGUGAGAUAAAAACUGGGUAGAUGCAAUGUGGAUAUCCUCAAACGGUAAUAGGGUGGCUAAAGUCUCUUAGGCUUAAAUUUGCACUAAAGAGUAUAAUAUAGAUUAUCACACAGCCACUCCCUAUAUACCGAUAAAUCCACAUAAAUUGUCAUAGACUCUUAUAUAUUUUAUUGGGCAUACAAAUUAGAAUUAAAUCAAUAGUAUCCAUAGAAUAUACAUCUAUCGUAUAUAGUUAUUCUAAACUUGUUGCAAAUAGAAAAGAGAGUCUGGAGGGAGGUUGAGUGAAAAUAUAAUUAUCUUUGCUACUCAGUUGGAGGUUAAGCAAAAAGUGUCUAGUCAGUAGAUAAAUAGCAGCCGUUAUACAGAUAUAUACAAUAUGGUUACUAGUAUCCAAGUGUAUCCUUAUGGGAGUAUAGAUAGAGUUAAUAAAUGACCACAAAUAGUACUUAGUUUGAUGGAAACCAUACUAGAGAAGAUGUCUCAAUGUACCAAUUAAAGCAUAGAUGUAUAUAUAGAUAUACAUAGAAUGCUCAAUGAGUGGUUAGGAUUAAACCUGGGGGAUUAAUGUGCAGUUGUCUCUUAAUUGUCUCUUAAUAAUGAGAUGGGUUAAAAAAUUCAAACCCCAAAUUCAUAAUUGCAGCUGCCAGACAAAAAAAUACAUCCCAUAAACAAAAACCACUUAGAUAAUAAACCCCAUCCACAUCUGCAUUCGCUAGAAUGAACUCCUAUAUAGAAACUGUACACUGGUACUUCAGAACCGCAUAAAUUGCUGUAUCUCUAUCUAUAUAGAGAGUCCACGUCUGCAUACACUGUAGUAGAUUUCUGUAUAAACAGUUGGCUGCUGCUUCGGGGCAGCCUAACGCUCAGAGUCACUGACUAAAAAGUCUCUCGGAUGACGCUAUUCCUAACUCCUACUGCUGCCACUAGCUAUUCCUGACAAGAUGAUUCCAGCUGAGAAGACCCGGUAAAACUCAAAAUAAAUCCCUCAGCAUAAAGUCGGCAUCCCCCAGUAUUAAAAUAGAACACGACUACCGCUCGACGCGCGUUUCGGCGCAAUCACACGCCUUUAUCAAGAGCUUCUGGCACGGCUGAGAGAGGGAUGGUAGUUAUAUACCGGGUAAGAUCCCGCCCGUAUGUUCACACAACCCAAUCAGCUUGCUUGUCGGUGAGGUCCCGCCCAUGUAUUUACAUGCUCCAAUCAGCUUGAUUGUGGAUAAGCUAGGGGCGGGGUUUCACCCCGAUCACGUACGCCUCAUUCAAGAGGUGUGUCUCACAAAGUAACUCGUAUGUAUGUAUACAACAUUAGCUAUCACCAUGGUGACGCAACAAACCCAACACAAUGCAGGUUGUCCGUCCACACAAGUUGCUCAAUUUGAAAACCCCAAUAAUUACAUAAAUUAGAAACAUAUUAGCCAUGUAUUCAAAGUAAGAUUGGCAUUAGUAAUCUUCCAGUGGAUAGAUUUAACUUCAAAUUAAAGGACAUUUAGAUUAUAAAGAGAGAAUGUAUAGUACAGGAUACUUACUACUGUCAAAUUUAAAUGUAGACAAGAGAUCCUAAAUUAUCUCUCAUUUCUAUCUAUCACUCAUUGUUUUUGCCAAUGGUUACUAGUAUAUUAUGAUGUUAAAGACAUAAAUGAGAAUUGGGACCCAAUUGCUUAAAGGACCACCAUUCACAUUAAUUGAGUGUUACUCCAUCAUAUGUGUUCAUUAUAUGUAUAUUAGGUCAUGAGUAUUACUCACGCAACUACUCGGUGAUAGCGAAUCAUAAAGUGUACCCAUGACUAAACAAAAUUAUGUAGUCAUAAAAAUACUAUGGUCAUGAUCUCUAAAGACUAUAUCAGUGCCAGUUUAAGGUAUAAGUACCAAAAAUUAUAGAUAAUGAUCAAAAAAAUUAUUCUUAUUAUUAUAUACAGACAAUGUGUGUAGGUCAUUAAAAGAUUUUAAUUAUAUAUAUUUGUGUGUAUUCCCAGACAUUAUAGUCAGUGUUAAUGACCCCAUCCAAAAUACAUUUGGGGACCAGAUAUUUAUAUGUAUUCCCAGACUUUAUAGUCAUUAUUGAUAAUACCAUCCAGACUAUAGUUGGGGACCAGAUAUUAUGGGACAACGCUAUAAUAAAGAUUAAAUGUAGGGGGAGAAGGAAAAACCUUCAUUCAAGCCAUUGGGGCUAAGAGAUUUGAGACUUUUUGCUUAACCUCCAACUGAGUAGCAAAGAUAAUUAUAUUUUCACUCAACCUCCCUCCAGACUCUCUUUUCUAUUUGCAACAAGUUUAGAAUAACUUUAUACGAUAGAUGUAUAUUCUAUGGAUACUAUUGAUUUAAUUCUAAUUUGUAUGCCCAAUAAAAUAUAUAAGAGUCUAUGACAAUUUAUGUGGAUUUUUCGGUAUAUAGGGAGUGGCUGUGUGAUAAUCUAUAUUAUACUCUUUAGUGCAAAUUUAAGCCUAAGAGACUUUAGCCACCCUAUUACCGUUUGAGGAUAUCCACAUUGCAUCUACCCAGUUUUUAUCUCACUUGUUGUUUUUUCACAAGUAUUUCACUAUUAUUACACUUUAUAGUUUUUUGUUUUUUGUCUAUAUGCGGCUUAAUAAAGGUUAUACCCAAUAAUUAUUUUACUAUCUUUAUGAGAUAUCUUUUUGUGUAAUGGAUGUCCAAUUUUUCCAUCUCUAAUGGAACAGCCAUUUCACUUUAGCUCUUUUCUUUUAUUUUAAAUUAUCGUGUGGGGUUAUGCCCCUUGAUAUCUCUGUAACCCUUUUGGAAUUUUGAUAUGGGCCUUGCCCAUUUCUAAUAUUUCCUCUCUUGUUCUUACUUGAGUGUUAUGUUUAUGUUUGAAUUCAGGGGUGUGUUUGUAUGUAGUGUUGGCUCUUACAUGCAGCUGUGUUAUUGUGUGUAGUACUAAUGAUUGAAUGAAGGGGUGUUUGUUUAUAAGUUUAGUGGUUUCAUUCAGGGGUGUGUUUCUAUGUAAUGUUUGCGUGUGAUUGAAGGGGUGUGUUUGUAUGUUGUGUAUGUAGGCAGCGCAGAAGGAGCGCUGAUGUGUUUCCAGUUUGUCACUGCUCCUCGUGCAUUCUGUGUUGAUGCAGGAGCUGCAAUAUGACAUUAAUCCGGCCCCGCAUUACUAAACAGCGCGAGGGAGCAGUAAGGAACUGGAAGACUGCAGGGAGACUUCCAGGGAGAAUAUCUCCACUGGACCCCAGGGAGAAAAUCCCCACUGGACUCCAGGGAGAAAAUCCCCACUGGACCCCAUAGAGAGGAACCACGACAAGAAACAGCACCAGGGCACUCAAGACGACACAAUCACUACAGAGAGCAGUAGGGGUUAUUUUGCAUACAGGAGUGGUUCCCAACCUUUUUUGGCAACGGCAAACUUCAAUAAGAGUCCCAUUUUUUAGGCACACCUGUUUUCUUUUUCUUUUUAACUUUAUUAACAGCUUAUAAAUGUCACAUGUAUUUCAAUCUUACUAGUAGCCAGCGAUACUUCUAGCCAAACCAAAUUAUUAGUAUAAAGUAAUUGCAUUAAGAGAAUUACAAUAUUAAUGCUGAUAGUUACUAAAAAGCCCAUGUUCUGGACUCAUUCCAACCUACAGAAGCUCUAAAUGAAAACCAUCUCCAUAGUGUCCCUUUAAUACAAGUCACAGGUGUUUUCUUUAAAGAUGUAAUUUCCGGAGAAGUGAUAGUUCCACUUGAAGUGUCCUUGCAUUUAAUAAUAUGUUAAAUUUGAGGCACCCAAUUAUUUCUUCCUUCCAAAAAUAUAUGAGGUUACAUUUAUACAACCACAAUACUUUAAAUAGUCAUAAAAUACAAAAAGUAUUUGUUGUAGUAAGGUAGAUGCAGGUGAUGGACAAGGUGAUGGAUUCCUGCUAUACACGGCCAAUUAGGUUAAGUUCAAGCUAAGCUACGGCUGGAGAAACUAUAGGGAUGGUGUGGUAGACUAGCUGUAGAAUGAUUGGGCAGACUAGUCACCUUAAAAUCUGUUUUACUGCGUGAGCUGAUAGCUCCUUGUAAGUGACCUACCAACAGCAAUAAAACUAGCGAUUAAGCCAACAACCUCAAAAGGGUGACAACCCUGCACACAAUGGCACAAAAAUCAACUAAAAAAAGCAAGCAAAAACCCACUUUACAGAUCGCAACGUUACCCUCACCACACUUACAAGAUGGUGCCGACAGGCCGCGCUCGCCAGCCUCCUACUUGGACCACAGUGACAGCACUUGUAUCUUAACGCAUACCUCGAUUCCUGCAACGGAUUCUUCAAUUCCAAAAAUGCUCUCAGACUUACAGUUGACUAUUCAAGCUGAAUUUGCUAAACUAGCAAGAGAUGUGCGGGCUGAUAUCCAGGCAAUAGCGGAAUGGACAGCGCAACUUGAAGAUAAAAUGGAAGAAAUAAUUUAAGCUCACAACAACAACCAACACGGACCUUCAUGCUAAAAUAGACCUUCUUACAGAGAAAGUGGCUGAUCAUGAGGACCGAGACAGGCGUAGCAACAUUCGUCUGCGGGGAAUUGCGGAGUAAAUUUCCACCCAAGAGCUGUCCAGGUAUGCGAGGGAAUUCUUCAAAGCCAUAGUUCCUGACUUGCCAGAAUAAGAGCUUCUCUUGGAUCGCAUUCAUUGACUACCAAGGCCAAGGAACUUACCUCAAUCAGCACACAGAGAUGUCAUAAUGAAGCUGCACUACUUCACUACUAAAGACCGGAUCAUGCAAGCCUCGAGACAUCUGGCAAACCUACCAGACCGGUUCUCAUCAGUAAGGCUCUUCACUGAUUUAUCAGCCUCCACACUCCAGAAACGUAAGGCCCUGGCUCCCAUCACCCAAGCCUUAAUAACAAUGAAGCUACAACACAAGUAGGGAUUCCCAGCCCGCAUUAUUAUAUGCCACAAUUACGCCAUGAGACUUAUUAUGACAGUGGAAGUGUCACGGAGUAUUAACCCUAACAUGCAGAGUUUAGGAUAGCAAGGAAUGGACUAAUGAAAUAUAAACCUCUUACCGGGCCUUAGAGUAGACAGAAUAAAGUGUAGUCGAAAUACGAGCCAAGAUCAGGGUAACGGGGAGACAGCGAAAACGAGAACUAGCUAGAGUCAGGUACACGGUAAAUAUCAUAAGGGCAAACAAGACAGGCAAGAGUUAAAGAGAAACUCAGGAAAGUCAUGAAACAAAACCAAGGUCAAUACCAGAAUACAAUACAAAACACUAGGAACGCACUGAAGGGUACUGGAAACAGAAACUACAAUAGGGCACAGAAUCUAGGGCCAGGUAAGUUUAAAUACUUUUACUUUUAAUUUGCAUGAAUGGGGGCGCCGGAAUGAUGUGGGCCAAUGGGAGCCGACCGCAAGGUUACACUCCCAUUUCCCCUUUAAGAAAGUGCUCUCAAUACUGUACGGGCUGUGCGCCCGAUCAGACUGUUUGGUGUGCGUGGCCCGCCAGGAGCAAUGAGUUUUCGAGCUGCAUGUGGCUAGCAUGAAGACAGGAGUGCUCGAGCCACAUGCGGCACGAUCAGAGGACCCCUGCCGGCACACAGACCGGGUAAGUAUUGUUACAGGAAGAAGGAAGGAAGCUGCUCAGAGAAAGGAAGAUCAAUAUGGCAACACCGAGAGAAUAAGAAUUGCUCGGACCUGCACACUGUUCACCAACGAAAGUCAUCUCAGACUGGCAGAAAGUUGCCACGAUAAAGUGACUGUGAUCCACCCUGCAGAUCGAUUGCAGAGAUGCUCAUCCACUGCUAACAGAUAAGAUGCCUUAGUCAAGGGCCUAAGCCCCUGUUAUGUUUUUUUUUUAAUUGCUAUAUAUGUAUAUGUUGGUUAAUAGGUUAAAGGACCACUCUAGGCACUCAGACCACUUCAGCUUAAUGAAGUGGUCUGGGUGCCAGGUCCAGCUAGGGUUAACCCAUUUUUUUAUAAACAUAGCAGUUUCAGAGAAACUGCUAUGUUUAUGAAUGGGUUAAGCCUUCCCCCAUUCCCUCUAGCAGCUGUCUCAUUGACAGCCACUAGAGGCGCUUGCGUGCUUCUCACUGUGAUUUUCACAGUGAGCGCACGCCAGCGUCCAUAGGAAAGCAUUGAUAAUGCUUUCCUAUGCGACCGGCUGAAUGCGUGCGCAGCUCUUGCCGCGCGUGCGCAUUCAGCCGACGGGGAGGAACAGAGGAGGAUCGGAGGAGGAGAGCUCCCCGCCCAGCGUUGGAAAAAGGUAAGUUUUUACCCCUUUCCCCCUUCCAGAGCCGGGCGAGAGGGGGUCCCUGAGGGUGGGGGCACCCUCAGGGCACUAUAGUGCCAGGAAAACAAAUAUGUUUUCCUGGCACUAUAGUGGUCCUUUAACAACAUUUAAAAUAUGUACUAUCUUAGACUUCAGGAUACACCUGAAUGAGGAAGUCUUCAGGGUCAUGUGUCCACCAUUUACUGGCUUCAGCCCCACCAACGCAUUGGAGUAGGUCCACUCCUCACAGACGACCCACCCCCAAAGCUUGCAAGAGCCAUGUUUCCGUCGUCGGUGCGUAGCCUCACCACCUUUGACUACAUUCUGUACAGAGUUAUGACUUUCGUUUUAUGUUUCCCAUAUUGUUAUUUUUAUUCCCCCAUUUCUCAGAUAACAGCUCAGUCCAUAACACUUCUACAAUUGGUACACAGCACCCUAACAUACCCGAGUUGUAGGAAGGUGGCCUACUUUCCCCAGAGGCAACACAGUUCACCCCCUCUCUAAGGAAAUAUACUCCUUAGAUUUAAGGGGUCUAAACACACAAGAAUUGCAGACUUGAUAUCACUGGGGAGACAAAAGAUUGGUCAACGACAGGUGGCAAAUAAUCAGAAGCCAUAAACACACAUGGCAACCAAGCUGUGACCCCUAUCUGAGACAUAGCAGUUUGUCUUCCUACAAGUUUACUGAAAAAAAAUGUAAAAAUGUUUUAAACAAAAAUACAAACAAAUAAGCAAAAAUAAACAAAAUAAAAAGGUGACCCCCAUGUUGGAGGGUAGCUGGUAAAGUCCCCCUGUCAACGGAGUGGGAGCAAUCCAAAUACCAAAUGAGUCUUAUCCCCCACUAUGGCGCUAAAUAUAAUGUCUAUCAACGUUAAGCGGUUAAAUUACCCUAACAAGCGUAGAUUGACACUAACAGAAGUGAGAAAACACAAUGCACAUGUACUCUUCUGCCAAGAGACCCACUUCAUAUUUAAUUUCAAACACUUCCCACAUGUUUCCACUCUUGUUUCAAAUGCAAGAAAAGGGGGUAUCAGUGUUAAUUAGCGGAGCCGUCUCUUUUAAUCUAGUUAAAAAAAAAACUGGGGGACAAAGCAGGCAGAUACCUAUUACUACAAUGUUAUGUGAAUAAUGAACCUUACACCUUUAUCAAUAUUUAUGGCCCGCAUUAUGACCAUCUCCCUUUUUUGACAAAAUCUUUGUUCUGGCAACACUGCACAAAUUCGGGGAAGGUAGUCAUCGGGGGAGAUACUAAUUUUAUAUUAGGCCAAUCACUUGACUCCACUUCGGCGGACAAGGUCUCACACACCACAUGCAUGAAAAGAGAAAAUUCCUCUGCCAAACUAAGAAACAAACUACUACAACAUAAUUACUUAGACUCUUGGAGGGUAUUACACCCGAUAGAGAAGGAUUUUACAUAUCAUUCCAUGGUAGACAACACAUACACAUGAAUUGACAGGUUCCUUCUGCCCUGUUUCCUAGAAACGAAAAUCCAAGACACCAAGAUUGGAUUAAUAACAUGGUCAGACCAUGCUCCGAUCACCCUGUCCCUACACGAAAGAUUUCCUACCGCAGAUUCAGGUGCCUGGAGACUUACUGCUUCACGAUGCGUCAAUAGUGGCAACAGUACAACAAGAUUUAAAAGACUAUCUCAAACUCAACUCCCCUGACGACACAAAUAUUGAGAAUUUUUGGCCAUUUAUGGUCACUAGGGGAAGUUUAUAAAGGCAGCUAGCUACGAAAAAAACAGAGACUCAAAAUAUAUACUAAAACUAUUCAAGAUCUUGCCGACCUAACACACAAAAACAAAUUUCACCUACCACUCAGAACCGACUGAGACUCUUGCAAAACAAAACAAAAGAAUUAGAACUAGCAAAAACCACAUACAUACUCUGAAAAUGCAAGUAUAAAUUCCUUGCCCAGAGCAAUAAACCAGGGGCUCAAUUAGCUUCCCAACUACAAGCCCGCAUGUAUCAUUCUAAAAUAGCACAUAUAUCACCAAAGAAAAAGGGAAAAUGCUAAACCCUCAAGAUAUUGUUAACGCAUUCACUACAUACUACAGCACACUGUACAAUUUUAGAGACAACCCUGACACCCGAACGCCAACGGUGAAAGACAUCAAAACAUUCCUAGAAUCAGUGAAUUUACCUCACCUCCUACCUGAAGAGAUUGAAUGGAUCUCGGCACCUUUUAGCACAUAAGAAAUCACGGAGGCUAUUAAAAACCUCCCAGCAUACAAAUAGCUAUUACCAAACCUUUGUAGAGAUUCUCUUCCCACACUUAUCGACCCUCUUUAAUACCUGCUACACCAAAUGAACCCUCCCUAGUGACAUGUUACUAGCUCACAUAUCUACUCUACCAAAGCCAGGAAAACCAGUCACCACCUGCCCAAACUUCUGCCCUAUCUCCCUCUUGAACGCAGAUGUGAAAUUGUAUGCCAAAAUAUUAGCAAACAGAAUGGCAACAUUUAUAACACGCAUAGUUCAGACAGAUCAAUAGGGUUUUGUUCGCAGCGGGCAGGGAUCAGAUAAUAUGCGCAAAAUAUUGAACAUUAUCUCACAUUUAGCAAGAACAAACAUAGAUAUAAGGAUGCGCCUAAAACUUGAUAAAAUAAAAGACUAAAUUAGUCGAAUAAAAUACAGAAUAAAAUAAGUAAUAAAACAAUAGUCCAAUAAAAUAGGCUUAUCACAGUCCGUGAGGGUAGGUCCCACUUGUAAAGGAAUAUUCUUUAGGGUGUAGGUGGGAUCAUAUCUUCAAAUGUUGAGAAUUCAGCAUAUGUGGAGAGAAAAAUAAAAACAGGACUCCAAUGGCACAGUAAAUCGGUGUAUAAAAUAAAUAUAAAGGUAUAAAAUCAGUCUUACUCACACUUUUCAGAGCUAGGAUCAGCUCUGAUAUUGCUCGCGUAAAGUGGAAUAAUCCCCACUUCAAGGAUAUAUGGAGUAAAUGUUGAUUGUUGAAUAUCUGACGUGGGUUCAGCGUUCAAUUUGACGUGAUACGACCCAGAGGAAAAAAUAAAAUAAAAUAUAUAGUGCUCACUGUAUGUAAUAAAAUUAAAAGAAAGUAAAGUACAGCAGACUCAAAACUGCUCAGUGAAGGCGCUCAGGUGGUAUAAUCCCCACCUAUGGAUUCUUUGCACUUCCUGCAGGGUGAGCCGUAUACGUAAAAGCAAUAAAAGAAAAUGUAUGUAAAAUCAGGUAAAGGAAAAAGCAAAUGGCUGAACCCACGUCAGAUAUUCAACAAUCAACAUUUACUCCAUAUAUCCUUGAAGUGGGGAUUAUUCCACUUUACGCGAGCAAUAUCAGAGCUGAUCCUAGCUCUGAAAAGUGUGAGUAAGACUGAUUUUAUACCUUUAUAUUUAUUUUAUACACCGAUUUACUGUGCCAUUGGAGUCCUGUUUUUAUUUUUCUCUCCACAUAUGCUGAAUUCUCAACAUUUGAAGAUAUGAUCCCACCUACACCCUAAAGAAUAUUCCUUUACAAGUGGGACCUACCCUCACGGACUGUGAUAAGCCUAUUUUAUUGGACUAUUGUUUUAUUACUUAUUUUAUUCUGUAUUUUAUCUGACUAAUUUAGUCUUUUAUUUUAUCAAGUUUUAGGCGCAUCCUUAUAUCUAUGUUUGUUCUUGCUAUCUGUUAUCAUUAGGGGAUUAUUGGGGACUCCCCUUUGAGGAUUGCUGCCUUUCUUAUAAUUUUAUUGUGGCAAUUUAGCGCUGUUUUCUUUCUCUUUUUCCAAAUAUCUCACAUUUGCAGGAGUCGAAGAGAGAAGGUCUUCUCCUAGCAUUAGAUUCAGAGAAGGCCUUUGACAGGCUCAAUUGGCGAUACAUGAAGAGAGUUCUCAUGCAAUUUGGUUUUCCGCGGGCAUUUACAGCAGGAAUCGCCCAGCAGCCAGCGUCUGCAACACUGGGUUUAUUUCCACCACAUUCCAAAUCACCAAUGGCUCUAGACAGAUCCCUGUCACCACCUCUCUCCCCAUUGCUGUUUAUUUUCUCUGUGGAGCCAUUGGCGUAUAAAAUUAGACACCAUCCUGCUAUACAUGGGGUGAAUAUAGGCAACGACAGCUACUGCCUCUAAAUGCUUACAGAUGACAUACUACUAACCUUAGAACAACCGACCACCUUGGUACCGGCUCUCCGCCAAUUGCUACAAGAAUAUGGGAACAUUUCCCAUUACAAACUAAACCAAUCAAAAACACGAGCCUUACCCGUUGAUCUACCAACACAUGUGGUACACUAACUCUCGCAGCAAUACCAGUUUGACUGGAGAAAGUCUAGUCUGACUUAUCUAGGGGAUAAGUUGGCACCCUCUCUACAAAAUACAUCUAAUAUGAAUUACAAAACCUUGCCUAGCAUAUGCACCACAGCCUUCUCAAAAUGGAAGUUGGUAAAACUCUCAUGGCUGGGAAGAGUUAACACAACUAAAAUGGUCAAUCUGCCCAAACUCCUGUAUGUCUUCAGGAUAUUACCCCUACCUAUGCCCCUCUCUCUCUGCAAACGCCUGCAGAAAAUCAUUAGUGCAUACAUUUGGGAGUACCAUAGACCCCACAUACCACUCUCACUCAUGCAAAAACAUCCAACUUAGGGAGGAGUGGGUCUACCCAGCAUAGCGGCUUUCCACAAGGCUUCCUUGUUGUUCUCUGCAAUUAAAAUGCAUGAACGCAAGGGUACACUACAGUGGGUUGAUAUUGAGAAUUCCCGGGUGAAUGGCUCCACACUAACCAACAUUAUGUGGACACCCAAACACCUAAGUGCGAAACCUUUAUGAUUGUUCCCAACCACACAACUAUCCAUUGCCCAGUGGGAUCAAUUCAUGACACAGCUGGGAGGGUCUCAUAAAUAUCGCUACAACACACUCUUGUCAGCACUAACAGCUGAGCUCUCUCUCCCUGGCUCACCUUUAAUUCAUGGAUCAGCAUGGGAAUACGCACUAUAGGAGAUUUCUACCAAAGCAAAGAGAUCAUGGGGGGGCGGAGCUAAGCAACACACUGAGCUAGACGCCAUUUCCCUGAGCUCCGACCACGCCACCAAAUAAAGCAACAAAAUCCCCGAAACCGAGAGUCUAACCGGCGAAAAAAUGUCACCAUCAUACAGGGGAAGCGGCCCCGAGCAGGCAGAUGCCAUUCAUUUUCCCCACGAGUGGCAAAAACCGACGGCGGGGAACUGGGCCUACAGCGCGGGAAUCCCGCAGGACCUGAAUGCAGCAUACUGGGGCUUCCUGGACACUGGAGGUAACUUGCAUACGGCAAACAGCCAACAAACCCCUAAAGAACCAGACAUGGGGCGCAAAAAGCCCACUUCACCUACCCUAAAAGACGGGCAAGACAUCGGUCAGAUGCUGGUGGCCCCUGCACGCACGAGAGGUAUGACAGCUACACAGCUAGAGGCUACUCCAACACCGCCCACGGCGGGAAUAGUAAUACCUGAGGCCCCAGCCAUAGCAAACGGAAUGGCCCCAAUCACAAAGGAGGACAUUCACAAUUUACUCAUGCAUAAAAAUCCGAGGGGUAGCAGACUCGCUCCCCCCUGAAGAAAUUCCCCACUUCAUAAGGCGUUUGGCAGCAACCAUCUUACCUGUGAAAUCCGCCAAACAAUUCACCUUUGAUGGUGCAUACCGCAUCACAAAAUCCUCACAAGCGCCCACCACGGCACCUAGAGACAUAAUCCUGUGCUGUCCAAACGUUGCAGACAAACAAAGGCUCCUCACGGCACUUAAAGGGAAAACCCCGCUCCACUUUGAAACACACAACAUUACCCUCUUUCAAGACCUCAGCAGGCCCACCCUAUUAUGGAGAAAAUCGAUGAAACCCAUAACUGCAGCUCUACAAACUGCGGGACUAGCCUACGGCUGGACUUACCCGAGAUCUCUCACAGUAUUUCGAGAGGGAAAGGCCCUGCGAGUAACAAGCCCCACAGAAGGUCCGGCCUUCCUUCAGUCCCUGGGCAUAAAGGAAGCAACCCCAUCGACGAGGUCCAAUCACCAAUGGGACGUAACGGCAACCACUCCCUUUGUGCCAUGGAACGAACGGGACUCACUGACUUAAAAACGUAAAGUCCGGAAAAGAAGCAACUGUUUUUGUUUUAGUUUCAUCCUUUGCUUUUACGCAUUACUUAUGUUUGACCAUGUUACCUACAUGUGCCUAACUAUGGCUAGAUACCACUGAUAACCAUACAACCGCUACAUGGCGGUCCACCAAGUGCUGCAAUAGCGACACGAACACACCCCCAAUAGAUAGCUCUCAAUGCCCCAAAAGAUAUAGGGGGUUUAAAGCUUACAAUAUCCCCUCCCCCUCCCCCAUAGCCUCAUGGGUUAGAGGCCUCACAACACCUGGGAGACACACUAACGCCACAGACACAUAGUCUCAUGUUUCUUAGCCUACACGAAGGAAAAGGCGGACACUUCGACUACACACCACCAGGCUCCUGGGCACCACUCAUCUACCGAUAGUUAUCAUUUGAACAUAAAAAUAGGUGAACACACUAGACAUCAUUGUUUGCAAAUACUGCACAUGGUUAUAUACUGUGAUACAAUGAAACUGCUGUAUUGUCAUAUAUCACCUGCCAAAAUAAAGAAUUUAAAAAAAAACAAAGAGAUCAUAUCGUUCCCAGACCUCCAAAACACAUACCACUUAACAAAUCAUAUGUAUUUCAGUACCUACAGCUGAAAAGUAUUGUCAUGUCUCAUGUACAAACACAAGAAGCCACUACCCCACAUUUAACUGUUGUGGCCCACAAAAUGUAUGAUAGAUGCUGUAAAAAUCAGACACAUCCCAAGACCUUAUCGAUCUGCUAUAAAGCAUUGAGAGAGAUAGGGCCUGAUAUACCGUUUCCCUUUCUCAAACACGGACAACAAGAAACAGAAUGUGACUUGUCUCCCCGCGAAUGGCUGGCCGCGAUAAACGCACUGAGAGGUAUUACUAAAUCUUACUCCCAUGUAGAGGCACAUAGGAAGCUCAUCUACAGAUUGUAUCACUCCACAUAAAAUGCAUAAGAUGUACCCUACGACUUCCAAGAACUGCUGGCGCUGCAACCAUACUGACACACGUUUGGUGGUGAUGCCCAACCAUAGCCCAACUAUGGGAUUUGGUAGCACACACAUUGUCGAAUCUGGGGUUACUAGAUAUCAAACUGAACAUACAUACAGCACUGUCUCCAUGUUAGCUUGCAACUAGUCUUUCUGUCACUAUAUAAAAAUGUGCAUUGUAUUUCCAACUCAUGCCUUGCUAAUCCUUUUCAUUAUAACUUACAGAAAAUGUAAAAAAACUUAAAAUCGAAAAAAAUCUGUUUUACGAGAAUGUAAAGAAAAAUACAGGUAUAACUGUUUAUUUGUGUUAGCAUUUCAUGGUUCACUGGUUUUUAAUAAUUAAUUUAAUCUUACCUGCCAUGCAACACAUUAAAAUUGAGAUUUUAUGCUUUGUUGGACCACAUCCAACCCACUCCACAUGUGUCGAUUAAACCUAUACUAAAUCAUGCAUAGAGAUUUUAAAAGGUUAGACUCACUGUUGUUCGGCCGGGGCACAUAACGAUGCUGUCAGGAUCUGCCCUAGACUGAUCAUCUGUACUGAGCAAGUUUAUUUUAUAUUACCCAUUAUUUAUUUCGAGUUUGCCUCCAUUCAUGAGGGGGGAAAAAUCACCUUAAACAGGUGUAAGUUUAUCAGGUAAGGAUGUUGGAUUUGUGUUCAGAAAUUAAACUGAAGGAUGUUUUAAUCAGAGAUGCUUAAAAUAAAUUAAGGAAAUAACUGAAACCUGAUUCAUCCCUACUUUGUCUUAUGUUUUUAAAGAGAAAUAAAUCCAUAUUUGGAGAGAAGAAGAGCAGAUAAAACAACUGUAGAAAGUAAGGUUUGGGGCGACAGAGCCACUUUUUAUAAAAAGCACCUCUUAUAUAAUGCAUCAUUAAAAAUACUUUAAUGCAUUUUACAGCUUUGAGCCUUAAUUACCUGUAUGUUUGCAUCCUCAAUUAGCUCAAUCUGUAUUGUUUGCAAAAUAUAUAAACAUGUAAAUAUUUUGCAACAUUUUGUAAGCCUGUCUCCUCUAUCAUUCUCACGUCCUCUAUGGUAAAACUAUUUUGCAGGUUACUGUAGCCUGUAUUUAAUGUCAUAGGUCUCUUUCACUGCAUCCCAACCUGCAGUGUUUCUCCAAUAAUAUAGACCUUUGUGUCAUCAAGAAGCAAUGAAAGGGUAUAGUUUAAUUGUAGCUCAGCCAAUAGAUUUCUUAAUGAAAUGCCAUAAAAAAAACACUAAAUUACAACUUUCACACAACUCUGAUCUGUCCAUCAUAAAAUCUUGUCAUGCAGAGAUUUAAAGGAAUGCAAUAGUGUUAUGAAUUCAAAGCUGUAUUCCUAAUACUAUAGGAACCCGCUCCCGCCGCCCCCCACGCCCUCUCCCCAGCAAUAUAAAAGGUUAAAUUUAAACUUUUUUCACUUACCAGAUUCCAACGCUGAUGUUCCUUGAUGCUGGGUCGGGCUCCUCCACCAAUGUCAGCCAAUGGGGAAACCUAAUGCAAAUCUUUGGCGAGGACCACACACCGCACAUCACACACACUGCAGGAAACGCAUCUAGUGGCAUUCUGGUAGAAUGCCACUUGAGGCAAUCUUAACACUGCAAUGUGAACAUUUCAGUUUCUCUAAAACUACAUUGUUUUACAUUGCAGGAUAAAGAAAACAGAGACACUGCACACAGACAAAUUCAAUGUAAUGAAGUGUUUUGGGUGGCUCCAGUGUCCCUUUAAGGGAUAAAUUCAGCCUUCUGGCUCUGCAGUGCAUAUAGUUCACUUGUUAUAGAUAGCAUGUUAUACAGCUCUCUCUCCUGACAUGCCUAGUUUAAGUUCUACCUACACCAUGCUUUAUGUUUUCCUAAUCUACUAUGUCUGAAAUACAUAAUCUGUUUGCACACCAAUAUAACUAUCUCUAUUUGGACAUGUUCACUAGCCUGCUUCUUAUAUCUUUACAACCAAACAAAAAAAAGUGCAGCACCUCUUGACCUUCUAUGCUUAUAUAUUGUCAUUUGUCAUUACAAAAGAUUGUACAUAUCACUGCAUGCCUAAAAUAAAGAACUUUUAAAACAAAGUGUGUUUUGUACAUACUAUUGUGGUUGUUGCGCAUUGCUUGAUUUUUGCACACAAAUAAUAUUGAAAGUUGAGGUGGGUUUUUAAAAUAUUUACACUUGUUUAUGUUAAGACACAGUUUUGUGUAAUGGUGCACCCAUUCAUAGGAGUCAUGCUCGCAUAGGAUUUUAUUAUCACCCUCUCGCCCAUUUGUACAGAGAGCACUACUUGGUGUUCUUCUGUGUUUGUCCAAUUUUGUUAGGACAUUCUGCACCACUCGUUCCUUCUUGUCUUGUUUUUAAUGUAACACCAGAUCCAAACUACUACAAGAAAUUUGAUCUCCUCAAGGGAAGAAAGAUAAACAUACCUGAGACUGUAUGCUAUUUAUAUAUAUUUUUUGUUCUUUUAUUAUUGCAUUGUUCCAGGCAAUAAUUGUUCCCUAUAAUUUAAUUUGUUGUUUUACUUUAUUUGGUCUCCCUACUAUAUUUUGUCUUUUAGAAGGUAUAAUAGUUUUUCUUGUUAUACAUAUUUUCUUUGCCUGUCUGAAAUACAGGUACACAGAAAUGCAGAGGAAAUCAUGUGAUGCUAAUGCUAUUCAUGUCUGUCAAAAAGUCACUCAUGAAACACCAUGCUUACGGCCAGGGCCGGCGCUACCUGUAAGGCGACCUAGGCAGCCGUCUAGGGCGCAACUUAGCAGGGGGCACCGGAUCCCUGCACCUGGAAUCACGCUGCAGCUCCAACAUGCUGCGCCGACUAAGCGCUUUAGCAAGCCUCAGGCGGCGCAGCACUGCUGUAUGGAGGGCGGCCGGAUUUGAGCGACUGGCAGGAGGGAAGCGCAGAGCACUCCCUCCUGCCGGUCUCUCAAUGUAGCGUGGCCGGCCGGCACGGAACGCGGGACAGGACCACUGGAGGAGGAGGGGGGACUAAGGACCACUGGGGGAGGAGAAGGAGGGGGGACUAAGGACCACUGGGGGGAGAGGGGGACCAAGGACCACUGGGGAGAAGGGGACCAAGGACCACUGGGGGAGGAGGGGUGGGACUAAGGACAACUGGAGGAAGAGGGGGCACUAAGGACCACUGGGGGGAGGAGUGGUAGGAGGAGGGGGGACUAAGGACCACUGGGCUGGAGGAGGAGGGGGGACCAAGGACCACUGGGGAGAAGGGGGGACUAAGGUCCACUGGGGGAGGAUGGUGGGACUAAGGACCACUGGGGGAUGUGGAGGGGACACUAAGGACCACUGGGGAGGAGGGGGACACUAAGGACCACUGGGGGGAGUAAGGACCAAUGGUGGAGUGGGGGAGUAAGGACCACUGAGGGAGGAGGGGGGAAGGUCCACUAGGGGUUUGCCAGAGGGAGGACCACUAAGGGGGGGGGAGAGGGGAAGGACCACCAAAGGGGGGAGGGAGGGAGGACCACUAAGAGGGAGAGGGGGGAGUGAGAAGACCACCAAUGGGGGACUGCAGAGGGACAGGGGGCCAAGGGAGAGCACUAAGGGACAGAAAGGGAGAACACUAAUUGACAGGAGGGGAGAGCACUAUGAAAAAUUUUAACAAAAUAAAGAGCUGCUCCCCUCUCAGUCCCUAUCCUACCCCACAAACCCUCUCUUUUACACUACACACAUACACAAUUCAUCCCCCCCCCCACACACACACACACACAGAAACAUACAAUGCAUCCUUACUCACACACAGACACACCCGAAACACACAAUGCAUCCCUUACGCUCACACAAACACUCAUUCUCUUACACACAGAAACAAAAUGCAUCUCUUACACACUCAAUGCACCCCUUACAGACACACACUGCAUUCAAUUACAUACACAGAAACACACCUUGCAUCCCUUACUCACACACACCCAGAAACAAACAAUGCAUUCCUUGCACGCAAACACACACUGCAUCCACUAUACACACACUACAUCCCUUACACAAAUUGGUAUCCCUAUACACUACAUUCUAUAAGAACACACACACAUUACAUCCUCUACAAUAACACAUAAAACAUCCCCUACACACAUACACUCCACUACCUGUGAGAGAACUCAUGGGUGGGCCAUGUAGGUGGAUUUAUUGGUGGGCAUUGUAGGCAUACUCACGGUCAAGCCCUGGGGGUCCAGACAUUGAGCUGUGUAAGGGGCCCCAAAAAAUGGCGCUGCUUCCUGUUCUACACCAGACCUGUGGAGCCAGACUGAGCCCAUCAUCAGCCUCUUGUCCUCAUCUGGUGGUAAGUAGGCAAUCCAAUAUAUUAUUAGUGGCACUAAUCUCUAAUUUACCUCACAUUAAAUGGAUACUAUAGUCACCAGAAGCACUACAGGUUAAUGUAGUGGUUCUGGUGUCUAUAGCCUUUGCCUGUAGACUUUUUAAUGUAAACACUCUGUCUUUUCAGAUAAAAUGUGAAGACUGGCGUUGGCUCAUAUGGCAGAACAUAUGGGUGGGGUAUUGUGAUGUCACAUGGUGGGCAGGAAAUAUGGGGGGGGCGGCAAAUUUUUUUUUAGCCUAGGGCGGCAAAAAUCCUUGCACCGGCCCUGCUUACAGCAACAAGGGGCCUGAUCCCGUUCCUCUGGGGACAAACAACUUCCCCCAGCAUUCAGCAAUGGAUGCAGAGAAUUGAGAAAAUACAUAUGACGGAAGCGGUAAUUGCGGCCGCCAACCUCAUGACUGUAAAAUAUAUAGCCAUAUGGUCGCCUUGGAUCCAAUAUUUGUCUAGAGGAUUACCUUAAGAGUAUGGCGCACACAUACCACACACACACACCCUCUUCCAAUUCCCACUUCCCAUCCUCUCACUUUCCCACGCCUCCUCCCCCUUUUUUAAUAUUCUCUUUUUCUUACUCUCUCCACACCAUAUUCUCUAAACUUAGUCUUACUUUCUUUUCACCUCCAACUAAAUCUUAUCAUCCGAGUGAGCUAAAGUGGUCUAUCCUGACAUCUUAUAUGGAGGUAAAAGCCCAAAGUGUUUCUGUACGAUUUCUUGCUGCCAAAUGAGCAGGAGAAAUUAUAUCUAGCCCGACUUGGGGUAAAGACGAAUAUAAGCACUUAGCUAAUGCAAAUAUAUCUCACUAGUCCUGCCCAGCAAUACAUUUUGAGAAGAUACACAACAUGCCUCCACACCGGAGCAAUGUCGCAGUCUAUCACUGUUAUUUACUGUUCGUAACAUAUCUCUGUAAUGUUGGAAAUAAAGAUUGUCAAAAAAAAAAAAAGAUUGGCAUUGCUAAUACUACUGAAAUUUUAGAUCAUUGUUGCACUUUACAUGAGUGUUCACUCUAUUUUAUUUUUUUUGGCACUGUAGUUAGACUGAUACAGUUUUGAUACAUUUGAUUCAAUUGCUCUAGUAUUUAAUUAUUUCUUAAAAAGAAAAAAUUUGAAGUAUAAAUGGCAAAGCCAUUUUUAAGAUAAUGACCUAUUUCACUAGCAGUCCUAAAUAUAAUUUUGUGGCUAGGUAGAAGUGCUAACUUUAACUUAAGAUACUAAAUGCAGAUACAUUACUAUGAAAACUGGUCUUUUGUCAAGCGAUAAAAUGUAUUUCCCUUCAUUUAAUACAUUUUAAGAUCCAAUCAUUGCAAAAUUGCAAAACCCUCUGCAAACUUCACCCAUCACACAGGCACAGGAAGGGGUGAAGGUUUUAGCUUUGCAAAUGAAACGUCGAUAACAUGAAAGACUUCCUAAAUUCUGAAUCAAUUUAUGAGAACAAAAGAAAUUGAGUCAAACCGAGGAAUGCUUUUGUGUUAUAAAUCCAAUUUACGUUGUUUACUGUAAAACAAAUUCUUUGGGAGUUUUUUUUUUCCUGCAAUAAUCUGUCUACUACCACCCAGCUAAGAUGUUUGUGCUAACGCCAUUAUCGUUGUUAUAAUGAUUUUUUUCCUUUUUACAUUGAAAAGGCCAAUUCCGAGCUAACGCGCAUUGUGUUUUCUUCAAGAAAGCACAUUGAAAACCGCAAAAACAUAUUUAGAUUGUCCAAUAAAGCAGGAUUUAGUGCACUGGAAAAAGAAAUACUUAUCUUGAGCAUUGCAGGGAAUAUGACCAGUACAUGCUCUCAAAUCACCAUGAAACAAAUAUACAGUUUAUUUAUAUUCACUGAAACACUUCAUACUAAAAUGUUAAACUUCACAUAAUACUCCAUACUAAUAUAUUUGCGGAAUUCUAGGCAACUGGUAAAAAAAAAAGUGAAAUAAAUAAAUAUGCAAAGGAUGAAGGCUAUUUAGUGUGUGCACACAUGGCCAAAAAUAAAUUAAUCUAUAAUGUUUCACACUAGUCACACACUCAUUUUUUGAAAAAUGCAAACAUUAAAAGACUACACUGCAACAUACUUAAUAAUAUAUACAGCAAACAGGCUGUCGUGGAUACAUUUACACCCCAGAGACAGCUUACAAAAAUAACAUUCCAGGUUUCAUGGAAUUAUUUCUUCCACUUUUACAACUUGCCAGUGGGAUUGCUCCUUAUGCAAAAUCCCACACUGUACGAGGGACAUGAGUUGAGAGGGCGACACUAUUUAGUCAACUGUAGUGAGAAAUUCAGCCAUCAGCCAUCCCCAGCUCUAGAUAAGCAUUUGUAGUAUCAAUGGGUAAACUAAACCUGUUCUCAAACUUGUGAUCACUUAAGAAGCAUGUGUGCUCUAAAUUCUAGUCUAAAAUUUAUUAUUAGGAUCAGUGUAACAUACAAACUUACAUAUGUAUUAUUGUAGAAUAUUGGUUGAUUUCAUUGGGAGAGCAUACAUGUAAAAUAAGAAUAAAAGAACCUCAUAGGGCAAUAUAGCACCUCUACCUCCCAGGCUCGCUGCCUAGGGGUUCUUUUUGAUUCUGAUCUCUCUUUUACUCCCCAUGUUCAAUCGAUAGCCAAAUCCUGUCACUUCCAACUCAAGAACAUAGCGCGCAUCCGCCCAUAUCUAACGCCGGACGCGGCUAAGGUACUGGUUCAUGCUGUUGUUCUCUCUCGCCUUGACUAUUGCAAUCCCCUUCUCACCGGUCUUACAUGUUCCCAGCUUGCACCGCUGCAAUCUAUAAUGAAUACGGCUGCGAGGCUUAUUUUCCUGUCCGGUCGCACCUCCCACGCCUCCACGCUCUGUCAGUCCCUGCAUUGGCUUCCAGUUAGAUAUAGGGCCCAAUUCAAAAUUCUGGCGCUUGCUUACAAAUCCCUACAUAAUGCUGCUCCAACAUACCUAUCUUCCCUCAUACACAAGUAUGUCCCGACGAGACCCCUGCGCUCAGCCCAAGACCUACUCCUAUCCUCUGCCCGGAUCCCCACCUCUGAUGCUCGCCUUCAAGACUUCUCCAGGGCUGCACCUAUUCUGUGGAACUCCCUUCCCUCCUCAAUCAGACUUUCACCCAGCCUCCAUUCCUUCAAAAAAUCUUUGAAAACUCACUUCUUUAUUAAAGCUUAUCAAUUACGCUGUCAGCAGGUUUCUCAUCCCCCACCCCUUAACUCCGUUCCUUCACCUUUCAAAAAUGACCUACCAAGCACUCAAUAAACCCUUCUGUAACAAACUAUUUAAUUCCCCUACUUUAACCCUUUGUGCCACUAUACCCCACUCCCUCUAGCAUGUAAGCUCAUCGAGCAGGGCCCUCAACCCCCUCUGUUCCUGUACAUCAGUGGUCUGAUCUCAAUUAUGUGUCUGUUAGUCCACCCAAUUGUACAGCGCUACGGAAUUUGUUGGCGCUAUAUAAAUAAUAUAAUAAUAAUAAUAAUAAUAGCACGAUAAAUUGUACGCAACAUAAAAGUUUAAAAGGGAACACUCACAAACAUAGAGCAGAGAAGCCUGCUCUAAACUGCAUUGACACAGAAGUUUUUAAAGAACAGGCACAUCUUUUAAUGGAAAGAUUUUCAGAUAAGAAAUAACCAAAAGAAUUGAAUAAUAAAGCUCACAACGAAAUGUUAGAAACAAACCAGGAGGAGCUUAUUAACAUUCGAAUAAGUGCUAACCAGAGUGUUAACCAAAACAGAUUGGAUAAAAUACCUUUGGUAUUUGAUUUUAAUGAGUCAAGUACGGAUAUCAAAUCUAUUAUUAAUAAACACUGACAUCUUUUAACCACAGAUUAUGAAUUGGCCAAAGUACUUCCUGAGAAACCUUUUAUUACAUUUAGGGGAGCCCCAAAUUUUAAUUUUCUCUUAACCCAUAAUCACCCUAAAAUAGAUAUUACAAGGCAUUUUUUGAAUAACAAAAAAGGUUUUUAUUCAUGUAGUAAGUGUAAGGGCUGCAAAGUAAGUAGGAAUUUAAAAGGUACUAGUAAAUUUAAGUCAAAGGAUAAUGAGAGAGAGUAUUUUAUUAAUGAUUUUAUCACGUUUCACUAGAAAUGUUGUAUACCUUUUAAUAUGCCCAUGUGGUUUGCAAUAUGUGGGUCGCACUAUCCGCCCACUACAUGUGAGAAUUAGUGAACAUGUGAAUAAUAUUUUUAAAUAAUACGCACAACAUAGUCUACCCGUUCAUUUUACAGAAAAUUACAAUAUGGACACCAAGGGGCUCAUUUUUUUUAUGUAUACAGGUAGUUAAAAAACCCUAUAGAGGAGGUAACCAUAUUCAAAUAGUCGGUAAGGAGGAAAUUAAGUGGGUAUACAGAUUGAAAACUUUGGUACCCCAAGGUCUGAAUAUAGAAUUUGACCUUUUUAAUUUCCUUUAAAAAACAUAAAAAAUAUUUUGAAUUAGUUAAAAUGAACUACUGAGAAGUAUACAAAUACAAAAUUGUGUUUGUUUGUGGACUUUUAUGGGACAUUUUUUUUGCUCAUUGAGGACUAAGUAUUGAAUUCUAAUUAUCUCAAAUGAUUCACACCCACCUUAUGGACAUAAAUAUGGAAUGUGGGCAUGUUGAGGGCAGAUCUGAGGAAGCCGGCAUACCGGUGAAACGCGUCAUCACGCCCUGACGUCACAUGCACGCCCCCCGGUGCCUUAGGGAACUUCGGACGCAACAUCCCACAGCCGGCAGUGGAGUAGCGGAAGUGAAAUCCUAUCGGUGGGGUGAGCUUAUGGGUCCUUUGGUGGCUGCUGCUGUUUUUAAAGUAUUGCAAUAAAGAUGGGAUAUUCUACAAUUUAUCAUCUAGUCCAGAGUGAUAUAUAUUGGAGCUAUUAAAGUUUAGAGCAGGCUUCUCUGCUCUAUGUUUGUGAGUGUUCCCUUUUAAACUUUUUUAUUGCGUACAAUUUAUCGUGCUAUAUUGCCCUAUGAGGUUCUUUUAUUCUUAUUUUACAUGUAUGCUCUCCCAAUGAAAUCAACCAAUAUUCUACAAUAAAACAUAUGUAAGUUUGUAUGUUACACUGAUCCACAUUUUUUUCACAAAUUGUGGCACUUAUAUUGCAUUGUGUUUGCACCAAAGUACUGUUGCACUUUCUAAUAUAUGCACCUUAAUUUAUUAUGUUUUAAGGGCAUGUUGCAAGUUUCACUAAUAUUGUCUUAAAGACACAGCGCAUCUUAACUUUCGUUUUAUGUCUAAAUUGUGUUCUGUAAGCUUAUACACUGUAAGGUGCGGCUUUCUUACCUCUGAUCUAUUUUAUUGCAUCUGUUUAGCGCCUAUUUUACUUGAUUUUGUUGUUUUUUUGUCUAAAAUGUAUUAUUGAAUAUAUCACGUAUUCCAAGUGUCCUGAGUCUAAAUGGAUAGUCCUGUUUGCACUGCGCCCAGGGACGUUUUAGCCGUGAGGCAAUCAAGGCAUUUGCCUUGGGCGGCAUUUUCCAGGAGGCGGCAAAAAAAGCCGCCCCCAAAUGCCCAGGGCAAAUGUCUUGUUAGCCUUGCGGCUAAGUGACAUGCCGGUGGGGCUGCUGGGCUGGCUGCAGAGUGAGGCUGGGAGCCGGAAUAUGACGUCAUAUUCCGGCUCCUGUCAUAACUCUGCGGUGCGCGAGGGAGCUGAGCAGAGAGCUCAGGGGGAAGUGCUCCCUCGCCAGCGCCGCCCGCCCAGCAGCCAGCCCAGCAGCCCGACCGGCAGCCUCAGGGAGAGGGAGAACUCCCCCAGCAUUCCUAAAGGUAAGGAGGCUGGGGCUUAAAUAAAAAAAAAAAAGUGAGUGUUAAUGUGAGUGAGUGUGUUUGUCUGAUAGUGUGUGUCUGUCUGUUAUUGUGUGUCUGUUAGUGUGUGUGUCUGUCUGUUAGUGUGUCUGUUAGUGUGUGUGUGUGUCUGUUAGUGAGUGUCUGUUAGUGUGUGUGUGUCUGUUAGUGAGUGUGAGUGUGUGUGUCUGUUAGUGAGUGUGUGUUUGUCUGUUAGUGAGUGUGAGUGUGUGUGUGUGUCUGUUAGUGAGUAUUUGUUUCUGUCAGUGAAUGUGUGUGUGUAUUUAGAAUGAGGGGCAGGGGGAAGGGUUGGGUGAGGGUGGCACGCUCUGGGGGGCGCCUGAGUUUUGUCCUGCCUAGGGCUACACCACUGACUGCACCAACAUAAUUUUGGUCAGUUUCGUGGUGAUUUGAAGAAGCAGUGGGCCCCUUUGUGUCAGAGGGAGGGCCAGAUUUUUAAAAUUUGUAAUCUGUGGUGCAGAUAGAGUAAUUAGCAUCAGUGAAAGCUGUAGGCCAUACUCAUGAUUUUUUUUUCUUUGAUUGGCUGCAAGGCUGAGAUGUGGCGGCAUAUUUUUCAUGGCCAUGUCUGAUGCAGAUGCCAUGUGUGAGAGAAUAAAGGAGAAUUUAAUCCCUUUUUAAGUUUACCUGCCACCACCUGCAUCACCAAUAAUGAACUGCAUUCCUGGCAUACUAACUCCCAACUCAAUUUCAUAACUCACAAACUGAGAAAGUGUAUUACGGACCUUUGCGGACCCCCAGAAACUCAAAUUGCAUGUUUUAUUAAGAUGUCGAGGUGGCUGGUAAAAAAAAUAGAGCCAGAUCAAUGUGUCGAAUCAAGAUGUGCUUCAGGACAGAAAUGUGUUUCUCUGGCAAUUUAUAUCAAUGUACAUUAUGAUUCUGCUGCAGGCAAAUGUGCACAGUUUUGAAGUGUCCAUGAAGGUAAUGGAGCAGGCCAAGUUUAUAUUUCCACAUUCAAUACCAAUUGUCAUAUACCAUAAAAUUCUGAACAUUAAUUAUCAGACAUUCUUAGCACUACGCUGUCUAAUUCCUUGGCUGAAAUAAGACGGUACCUAUCAUUGUGGUGCAGUACGAGCAAAUGGUUCGAGACUGAGCCAGUGCAGGCUGGAUACUUUACAAAAGGAUAGAUUCUAAUAAAUGUCACACAAAUUAUAUCUUAUCCACUUCCUCAACUACAGAAUAAGCUUUUUGUUAUUUAUAAACUACUAAUGAUUGGAUGGUCUGAAGGAGAAGAAACAAUGAAUCGGAAAUUACAGAGUUAAAGGAUGUACCAUCGGGACAUGAUACAGCCCAGAGCAAAGUUUAAAUGUUAAUGCCUGAUUUAAGUAUUUUACUUCCUAGCUAAAAUUGUCUUUAAGUUUGCAAGCGCUAGUGAACAAAGCUCUUUAUACUAUCUUUCCCUCUCUAUAUUACCGUCACAAAUGUGUACACUUUUGUCUGUAUUCUAAUGUUUAAAAGGAUAGGUGCUACAAUUCACGUCCAUUCUGUAGAUAAAAUAAUAUAUUAUACACUUAUAUGGUUACCAUGCGCUGCAAAAAAAAAAAAAACUAAUUUGCAUGAGACGGUGAAGUGAAAUGCCUCAUAAUUGAUAGGUGCAAAAAUAUUAAUUAAAUCCUCAACUCACCUAUAGAAACCAGAAUUUAAAGCAGUUUUGUCACUUUUGAUGAUCUUUGCAUAUUUUGCACGGCACGUUACCUCAUUAAAUGACAGCGAGGCUCACUCCGUGUCACAUUACCUCAUUAAAUGACAGCGAGGCUCACUCCACGUCACAUUACCUCAUUAAAUGACAGCGAGGCUCACUCCAUGUCACAUUACCUCAUUAAAUGACAGCGAGGCUCACUCCAUGUCACAUUACCUCAUUAAAUGUCAGCGAGGCUCACUCCAUGUCACAUUACCUCAUUAAAUGACAGCGAGGCUCACUCCACGUCACAUUACCUCAUUAAAUGACAGCGAGGCUCACUCCACGUCACAUUACCUCAUUAAAUGACAGCGAGACUCACUCCACGUCACAUUACCUCAUUAAAUGACAGCGAGGCUCACUCCACGUCACAUUACCUCAUUAAAUGACAGCGAGACUCACUCCACGUCACAUUACCUCAUUAAAUGACAGCGAGGCUCACUCCACGUCACAUUACCUCAUUAAAUGACAGCGAGGCUCACUCCACGUCACAUUACCUCAUUAAAUGACAGCGAGGCUCACUCCACGUCACAUUACCUCAUUAAAUGACAGCGAGGCUCACUCCACGUCACAUUACCUCAUUAAAUGACAGCGAGGCUCACUCCAUGUCACAUUACCUCAUUAAAUGACAGCGAGGCUCACUCCACGUCACAUUACCUCAUUAAAUGAUAGCGAGGCUCACUCCAUGUCACAUUACCUCAUUAAAUGACAGCGAGGCUCACUCCACGUCACAUUACCUCAUUAAAUGACAGCGAGGCUCACUCCACGUCACAUUACCUCAUUAAAUGACAGCGAGGCUCACUCCACGUCACAUUACCUCAUUAAAUGACAGCGAGGCUCACUCCACGUCACAUUACCUCAUUAAAUGACAGCGAGGCUCACUCCACGUCACAUUACCUCAUUAAAUGACAGCGAGGCUCACUCCACGUCACAUUACCUCAUUAAAUGACAGCGAGGCUCACUCCACGUCACAUUACCUCAUUAAAUGACAGCGAGGCUCACUCCACGUCACAUUACCUCAUUAAAUGAUAGCGAGGCUCACUCCACGUCACAUUACCUCAUUAAAUGAUAGCGAGGCUCACUCCACGUCACAUUACCUCAUUAAAUGACAGCGAGGCUCACUCCACGUCACAUUACCUCAUUAAAUGACAGCGAGGCUCACUCCACGUCACAUUACCUCAUUAAAUGAUAGCGAGACUCACUCCACGUCACAUUACCUCAUUAAAUGACAGCGAGGCUCACUCCACGUCACAUUACCUCAUUAAAUGACAGCGAGGCUCACUCCAUGUCACAUUACCUCAUUAAAUGACAGCGAGACUCACUCCACGUCACAUUACUUCAUUAAAUGACAGCGAGGCUCACUCCAUGUCACAUUACCUCAAUAAAUGACAGCGAGGCUCACUCCACGUCACAUUACCUCAUUAAAUGACAGCGAGGCUCACUCCACGUCACAUUACCUCAUUAAAUGACAGCGAGGCUCACUCCACGUCACAUUAUCUCAUUAAAUGACAGCGAGACUCACUCCACGUCACAUUACCUCAUUAAAUGACAGCGAGGCUCACUCCGUGUCACAUUACCUCAUUAAAUGACAGCGAGGCUCACUCCACGUCACAUUACCUCAUUAAAUGACAGCGAGACUCACUCCACGUCACAUUACCUCAUUAAAUGACAGCAACUCACUCCACGUCACAUUACCUCAUUAAAUGACCUUGGCCGAGGCUCACUUACGUCACGUACCUCAUUAAAUGUCAGCGAGGCUCACUCCACGUCACAUUACCUCAUUAAAUGACAGCGAGGACUCACUCCACGUCACAUUACCUCAUUAAAUGACAGCGAGGACUCACUCCAUGUCACAUUACCUCAUUAAAUGACAGCGAGGCUCACUCCACGUCACAUUACCUCAUUAAAUGACAGCGAGGCUCACUCCACGUCACAUUACCUCAUUAAAUGUCAGCGAGGCUCACUCCACGUCACAUUACCUCAUUAAAUGACAGCGAGGCUCACUCCACGUCACAUUACCUCAUUAAAUGACAGCGAGGCUCACUCCACGUCACAUUACCUCAUUAAAUGACAGCGAGGCUCACUCCACGUCACAUUACCUCAUUAAAUGACAGCGAGGCUCACUCCACGUCACAUUACCUCAUUAAAUGACAGCGAGGCUCACUCCACGUCACAUUACCUCAUUAAAUGACAGCGAGGCUCACUCCACGUCACAUUACCUCAUUAAAUGACAGCGAGACUCACUCCACGUCACAUUACCUCAUUAAAUGACAGCGAGGCUCACUCCAUGUCACAUUACCUCAUUAAAUGACAGCGAACUCACUCCAUGUCACAUUACCUCAUUAAAUGUCAGCGAGGCUCACUCCACGUCACAUUACCUCAUUAAAUGACAGCGAGGCUCACUCCACGUCACAUUACCUCAUUAAAUGUCAGCGAGGCUCACUCCACGUCACAUUACCUCAUUAAAUGACAGCGAGGCUCACUCCAUGUCACAUUACCUCAGCGAGGGCGUCACAUUACCUCAUUAAAUGACACGUCACAUUACCUCAUUAAAUGACAGCGAGGCUCACUCCACGUCACAUUACCUCAUUAAAUGUCAGCGAGGCUCACUCCACGUCACAUUACCUCAUUAAAUGUCAGCGAGGCUCACUCCACGUCACAUUACCUCAUUAAAUGACAGCGAGGCUCACUCCACGUCACAUUACCUCAUUAAAUAACAGCGAGGCUCACUCCACGUCACAUUACCUCAUUAAAUGACAGCGAGGCUCACUCCAUGUCACAUUACCUCAUUAAAUGUCAGCGAGGCUCACUCCAUGUCACAUUACCUCAUUAAAUGUCAGCGAGGCUCACUCCACGUCACAUUACCUCAUUAAAUAACAGCGAGGCUCACUCCACGUCACAUUACCUCAUUAAAUGACAGCGAGGCUCACUCCACGUCACAUUACCUCAUUAAAUGACAGCGAGGCUCACUCUAUGUCACAUUACCUCAUUAAAUGACAGCGAGGCUCACUCUAUGUCACAUUACCUUAGUAAAUAGCAUUUAAAUGUAUCACAGGUAAAUGUGUUACAGUAAGUAGUGAAUAAAUAGGUUUAUUUUUAUUCACAUUUAACUUAAUUGUCUCUAGCUGCUAGAUCAAAGUUAAUAUUAGUAGAAAUAAACAGAUAUGAUACAUUAAUAACAAAAUAAAGUAAACAUUCAAGGUUAAAAUCUAGAUCAAGUAAUUUUUCAUAUGUAUCUCAUAUGAAUUUGCUUUAAUGGUUGGAGUACAUUUUGUUACAGGGCAUCCCAAUCUCAGCCUAAACUAGAGAUAUUACCUUUAAAACUGUGUUGGCCAUUCAGAGAAGAGGUUCAUAAAUAUUCCUCCUAAUUCAUCAUAUCCUCCCGCCCGUGUCUGUUACACCGAGAACUAUGAUGUUAAACAGAAGAUUUAGAAACACUCUGCCUGAAGCAGUGAGAUCUCUCAGUCUGAUGUAAUAUAGGAACGGUGGUCUCUUACUGUAGCCAUGGGGUCUAUGAGAAUGUUAUAAGAUGGCGCCAUCCUGUGACACUGAGGGACAUCAACGUUUUCCUAAAUUCCCUUUAUCGGCCAAUUACCAUGGAUAAACUAGGACAGUGCCUGGCAGGAAGAUUAAACCCAUGGCAUUCCAGCUGUUUAAUAGAGUAAAAGUCAAAUAGCAGAUUGGCAUUGGUUGCUAACUUUGUAGAACUGCAACUCCCAUGUUGCUAUGCUAUCCUUUAAAAAUAACAAACUGUUCUCGGAGAUGUAGUUCUAAAACAUGUGGUAAACUAUAUUGACAAAGACUGGUAUUAAUUAUUUUCCAGUGGGCGAAUAGGCUGCUGUUUCAUGGAGUGCUAGCUCUGUAGCACAGAUCCCUGGAGUUCUAUAUUUACCUUUAGCACAUAUUCGCACUGUAUUCUAUGUAACAAGGGGUUCUGUAACAAGGGGUUCUAUGUAACAAGGGGUUCUAUUUCUUCUAUUCCACUUGGUUCUCUGUAUGUUGUACAGGGUCUCACGGGUUUCUGUCUCCUGCACAGAGUUCCAGUGGGUUCUAUCUGUCUGUAGCUCAGUUUCACAGGGCUCUAUCUCUGUAGCAGAGUUCCAGUUGGUUAUAUGUACGUUCUGUGUCUUGCACAGAGUUUCACCGGGUUCUGUCUCCUGCACAAAGUUCCACUUGGUUCUUUUUAUGUUGCACAGAGUUCCAGUGGGUUCUAUCUAUCUCAUGCACAGAUUUCAUAGGAUUCUAUCUGUCUGUAGCUCAGUUUCACAGGGCUCUAUCUCUGUAGCAGAGUUCCAGUGGGUUCUCUCUAUCUCAUGCACAGAUUUCCAUAGGGUUCUAUCUGUCUGUAGCUCAGUUUCACAGAGCUCUAUCUCUGUAGCAGAGUUCCAGUGGGUUCUCUCUGUCUCAUGCACAGAUUUCCAUAGGGUUCUAUCUGUCUGUAGCUCAGUUUCACAGGGCUCUAUCUCUGUAGCAGAGUUCCAGUGGGUUCUCUCUAUGUUCACUGGGUUCUAUCAGUAUAGUGGUUUUAUUUAGCAAUACAUUCACUGGGUCAGAUGGUGACCGUGUUGUGAGUAUGCGUUUUUAAUGACAUAGAACAGCAGCGAGCUAGGAGUGAAGUAAUAUGAAACACUGUCUAUUACUCUGCAAGAAUGUGUUUCACCUCGUUUCGGGGCCCCCUGCUGGUUUAUUCGGGAACUGUUAGCACCCUCCUACACCUCCCUCACAUAACCCCGCCCCCUAAUGGGCGGAGCCAUCAGGACUGAGCAGCCGCGGGAACAGCUGUCAAUUUAAAAGGGGCCGGAUCUUCUGUGUAAACAGAAGCACAUGGCUAGUCAGCACCGGGUGUCACGUGACCUGAGCAGGACGGCCAAUCAGGACGCAGCAAAUGGUGACAGCUCGUGGGAUGCAGGAGCAGCUGCUCUGUGAGUCCUAGUGCAAGGUCAGACCAUCUCCAUCAUAAUAAUAAUAAUAAUAAUAAUAAUAAUUAAUAUAUAGAGCAAGGUCAGACCAUCUCCAUCAUAACAAUAAUAAUAAUAAUAAUAAUUAAUAUAUAGAGCAAGGUCAGACCAUCUCCAUCACAAUAAUAAUAAUAAUAAUUAAUAUAUAGAGCAAGGUCAGACCAUCUCCAUCAUCAUAAUAAUAAUAAUAAUAAUAAUUAAUAUAUAGAGCAAUGUCAGACCAUCUCCAUCAUAAUAAUAAUAAUAAUAAUAAUUAAUAUAUAGAGCAAUGUCAGACCAUCUCCAUCAUAAUAAUAAUAAUAAUAUAGAGCAAGGUCAGACCAUCUCCAUCACAAUAAUAACAAUAAUAAUUAAUAUAUAGAGCAAUGUCAGACCAUCUCCAUCAUAAUAAUAAGAUUAAUUAAUAUAUAGAGCAAUGUCAGACCAUCUCCAUCAUAAUAAUAAUAAGAUUAAUUAAUAUAUAGAGCAUUGUCAGACCAUCUCCAUCAUAAUAAUAAUAAUUAAUAAUUAGUGCAAGGUCAGACCAUCUCCAUCAUAAUAACAAUAAUAAUAACAAUAAUAAUUAAUAAUUAAUAAUUAGAGCAAUGUCAGACCAUCUCCAUCAUCAUCAUCAUAAUAAUAAUAAUAAUAAUACUACAAAUAAUAAUAUAUAGAGCAAUGUCAGACCAUCUCCAUCAUAAUAAUAAUAAUUAAUUAAUAUAGAGAGCAAGGUCAGACCAUCUCCAUCAUAAUAAUAUUAAUAAUAAUAAUUAUUAAUAAUUAGAGCAAGGUCACACAAUCUCCAUCAUAAUUAUAACAAUAAUUAAUAAUUAUAGCAAGGUCAGACCAUCUCCAUCAUAAUUAUAACAAUAAUUAAUAAUUAGGGCAUAGUCAGGCUAUCUCCAUCAUAAUAAUAACAAUAAUUAAUAAAUAGAGCAAGGUCAGGCUAUCUCCAUCAUAAUAAUAACAAUAAUUAAUAAUUAGUGCAUAGUCAUGCUAUCUCCAUCAUCAUAAUAACAAUAAUUAAUAAAUAGAGCAAAGUCAGGCUAUCAUCUCCGUAGUAAUAAUAAUAAUAAUAAUGACAAUUAUAAUGCAGCCACUGCAUUCUUUAUACACUCAUUUCAAGUUUCAGAAUAAUCCAGGAAACACAGAGGAAUGUGAAUACUUUUUCACAGCUUUUUCUCUCCUGUUCAUGCCCUGCUUUGACAUGUUUCAUGAUGAGAUAAUAAGUCCCAUUCUCCCAAACUAAGGUUGGCUGGCAUCAAGUGAUACAAGUUUGAAAAUGCUGCCUGGUUAUGAUAUUGGGGUAUUUGCCUAUCGGGAUUGCACGCAAGAGAUCUAUAUCUUAUGCAAUCUGUUUUUCUAUACACUCCCCCCCACCCCCUAAAGUCACAAUUAAAUGCAUACCUGUUUUUAUUGGGGGUAUAUGUACUAAACUGUUUUUUUUGUUUGUUUUUUUAACAUUGAAAUGUUUCUUUAAGGAAUUGUUAAUAUUGGUUAAGGGCACAGAGAUCAGUCUCAAACAUUACCAUAUAACCCAGUUGUCAUGGUAAAAAGCCCUGAAUCAGAUAUCCUUGAGUCUGAGACAUGUUGAACGGUUAUAGCUGGAUUGACCUAAGGUGACCUAUCCUAGCGUUUAUGGUUUAGGAGUCUGAUGGGUACCACUAGGGCAGCACAAAACCUAAAUGUGCCACUGGGUACCAGGACAUCAUAGAGAUGCUUAGCCAACCAUGGACUCAUUCACCAACCCUAUACUUAGAGUGAAAGAAAGAUCUCAGUUGACUCAAAACUAAUGUGCGGUUGUUAGAUAUGUCAUUCCAAUGUUAUUGCAACUUGUUGUUGGAAUUAAAAGAUGCUGAGAGCAUACUGUGAAGGCAAAAACCAAAGCAAAGAAAUAAUAGUUUAUCAGUAUAUUUGCUGGCAGCUUGCCUUGCACUAUGUAGGUUAAACACAAUGUGAGGUAGGCGAAUGUGUGUGUGUUUUAAUAAAUAUUUCUCAUUUAAUCUGUUUUUAAAGUGUAAUUCUAAACAAAGAAAGAAAAUGCAUGUGCACGUAAAUCACUGGAAAUUAUACAGUUUAUCACACAGCGAGCUGUAGAAAAGGCCUCCUAGUACAUAUUUUAACACAUGGUGGAUGUGCCCUAAAUUAUGCCCUCUGUGGAACAAGAUUCUUUACCACUUAUGCUUUAAUGUCCACUAGACCAAGGAUUGUCUGGUGAUAGAAACGAAUCAAAGACUUUCUAUCUGCACCAGAACUGAUCAAUCCAUCUGUAUUUAUCUGUGGAGUCUUGUUCAAUGAGGAAAUCCCGACAGACCAAUUUGUUCAGGCGUAAAUGAAAAGGCAUUUGUUUCGUUCAUACCUGCUGAAACGCAUUUGUGCAAACGUCUAAUGUCCACAGUACACAAACUAUUGAAAUGGAGUUCCACUUGAUAUCAUUAUUGGAAUGAUGAUGCCAAUGUAUCAGUUUUGGGACCAUAUGACUCUGUACAUUGAGAUGUACCUAUGCGAACCCAUAUACUUCAAUCACUGAGGUGCAUCUUUACUUUAUAUUUGUUUUAUCAUUGGAUACUUCAUUAAUGAAGAAUGAAUUGAAUAAAACCUGUGUCUGUGGAGAGAAGUUGUUCAAUAAAUAUAAUUUAGCAGUCCUCUUAUUUACUAUAAAUGAGAAUUCUAUGUAUAUCAGUUCUGUUGUGUUGCAUAGAUUAAGCCCCCAUGCAAACCCUCCAAAGUAUACAAAACACAACGAGGGAACCGGCUGAUUGUCUAAAUGAAGAUAAAUAAAAAGAGGUAUAGUGUAAUACAGUUUUAAAAUAUUAAUACUGCGCAAUAUGAAAUGCACUCACAGGAUAUUGGACAGUUCAGGCAUAUAUGGUGCCACCCCUGAUGAUAAGGGGGGCUAGAGAAAUCCCCUGGACACUUCCACUCAAAAUGCAGGACUCCAGGUGAAGAUAUGAAAAAAGCGGCUUUAAUUGUUUAAAAAUAUAAAAUAGAUACAGAUAAAGGUCCUACGCGUUUCGUCCCUUCUACAGAAUAUGGGACUUCCUCAGGGACCAAAAUAUUCAAUAUUAAAAUAACAAUCAAUGCAGUACAAUCACAAAAAAACCCUCCAAAGUGUCUUCAUGCAUUUUAUAUAAAUAUUUAUAUUUUUUUAAACAAACUUUUUUAUUUAUUUCGAUGAUUGAUAUCUUUUCUUUUUUUUUGUUCCUAUUAAUAAUCCUUACUCUUCAAGAUAGCGAAUGUUAAUCCUACAUAAUAAACAGUGACAUCUAUGCCGUAGCUCUGGAUUUAAAUCCCGACAAUCACGCACAUGUCUGUGUUUUGCUCUUGCAACUUUGUUAUAUAUUAAUAUUUUGUCCUUUUAUGCCUGGUGCGCAGUGCUCUUAAUGUGCAGAGUCUCACACAGUCAUUGUGCAUCUCCCUUUGAAACUCUGCUGCACACCUGCUCAACACAAGUGGCUGAAUACUUAUUGUAACAAGGCCCGAGUAUCUGCUUGUAACAGCUGCCCUACAUUUUAUUUUCCUUUCAUAAUGGGAACAGUCGUCAUGGCAACAAAGCCUAUACAGAGACAGAUUUGUGAGCGCACUCCAAUAUGUAAAUAAGAAAUUAAGAGAAGUUUCACUUAUGUUGGCACUGUAGACCCCCUCCUUGUUACUAUAAUAAUUAGUACUUGCCAACCCAUAUAACCACAGAAAUAACUCACAUUAUUUAAUUUCAUGCCUGAUUAUAGGGUAUGGUGCACUGUGCACCCUAGCGCAGUUUCAGAAAAUAACCCUUUAAAUUCUGGUCAAGAUGUUAAAGGAGAAUUUUUGUUCAUUCAAUUUGGAUUAAAAGAAGGGUUAAAGUUUCAGCGUUUUGAAACAGUGUUGAAUCUCACGCAAACAGAUCAUUAGGAAACUUUGACUGUACUGUGUUCACCAUCGCACGGGCUCUUGGCUGAUAAUAAAAACAUGUUGUGGCAAGAAUGCACUUCUUUUUCUGCUAAAAACUAGUUCAUAGUUGAGCAAUCAUUGUAUCUUUGCAUUUGUUGUAGCAUUAUCAGGUUAAUAUUACCUGGCAGCAGUUUCAUUCAACUUGGUCCAUUUAGUAUGAUGGAAUUUGGAGAAUCACAAUGCUGUGGUGAAAAAUGUUGUGAUGCCCACAAGGUGCCCAUGUCAGUUGAGUGGCAGUAAUGUUUCUGGACCAGCCAUUUUACUUGACAAUACUUUGAUAGCCAGAUUAAUUCUGAUAAACUGAAACAACAUAUCUUAAAUACACCAGUGACUGUUUGUGAUAAACAGAAUCUCUGCAGAACAGUAGAACCUUGUAUGAACCAAUUCCUUUUGUAAGAUUCUACUUAAUUGUUUAGAUCAUAUGUCUGCAGUUAGUGCUCUUAAAAUCUACUAUAAUCACUACUAUAAAGUAUAAAUCAAUAUAAGAAAAUUUCAAUUCUUCAUCUAGCAAACCAUAUCAGACAGUUCGCCAUGUUACUGUACCCAUUUUCCAAUUAAACAGAACAAAUUAAAGCUUAAUUCAAGAAAAAAAAACUAGACAUACAUCAUGCAUAGUCUUGAAAGGGCAUAUACAUGCACAUUAUAAAAAAUGUAACAAUGGUACACACAUAUAUAUUGACAUGACAUGAGUGAAACUCCAUCAUCCUCAAUGAAGAUUAUAAAAUCUGUUUAGGACUGCUCCUAAGUGCCGAUGUGGUUGUGUGUCCAGGAAAGUGUCCCCAAUACGGGGAGGGAGACUUCUUAUCAAGACGGCAAACCAUGUAUACCCCAUAAAAUACCCUCUUUAAAGGUAGUAAUUAAAAAUUACAUUGAAAAGAAAAGGAAGAAAUCCCACGGCGAGACCAGUGACUGCUUAAUUUCAAUUUCACUCUCUUCUUAACCUAGUGGUUUCCAAACCAGUCCUUACGGCACGCCUACCAGUCCGGGAUUAAGGGAUAACCCAGUUAUAUCUAAGGUGUUUUAAAAACAAAACAAACUAAAAAAAAACACCUUGGCACAAUUGGGUAAUUUCCAAACCGGUCCUAGAAAUGCCUUUAGGACCGGUUUUGAAACCACUGUCUUACCCUUCAUCUUCUCCUAUGGGGCCCAAACCGACUGCCUGCAUAGUGUUAUGUAUCAUAGCUGUGAGCUUAUCAAUGAGAUCAUUUUCUCUUAUUUUUACUUUGACUUUCAUCAGACUGGGAACAAUGCAUAUUACUGAGCUUUUUUUUAAUACUUCUUACUAAGUGUAUGCAGUUCUGUGGAUUCUGUUGAAACUAUACAUUUUAUUAAGAGAUCAUAAUAACUCUGGACAAGACACAUUAUUACUAUUACCGUACUUUAUACAUGGCUUGAUGUUCUGAAAAUUGUAUUGCAUGCAUUCUGCAGAAAACAAACUAUUUCUCAGUUGAAAAAGUUUAUUUUUCCUUUUGUAUUCUAAACAUUAUUAGGUGAUCCAUUAAACAUUUAUUUCUUGCUCUGUUAGUUCAUUUGCUAUUUUUUACUUAUCAAACUUUAAAAGUCUAUAAAAGGGGGAAAGGGACUGACUGCCAAGAUGGCCAGUCGUGUUUGUUACCAGCUCCUGCACAUCUGAGUUAAACCUGCACCUUCACUAAAAUCGACUGAAACUCAGCCUGGAGCACAUGGUGAAACCAUACUAAAGUGAGUGGGCACUUCAGGGUGUCCUUUAUCUUGACCUGCAUUGUGGAAAUCCGCUGUCCGAACACGCGGCCUAGUAUUACUAGUGGCCUGGUGAAUGUGGGAGACGGCCGAUCUCCCAAAACGCUUAUUGUGAGCUCUCAUAAUUUGUUGGCCCUGACACAUCUAAGAUCCUCAUGUUGAGAGAUAGCAGCAACAGAAUCAAACUGCAAAUGGGGCACCGUGAACCAGACCUUUACUUUAGCUCUUUUUACAUGAUCGAAUGAUGCAAUGACACACGGCCUCAAGAAACCAAAUAAAAUUGUGGGACAAUGUGCGAAAAGGGCUGUACAUAUCUUCAUAGUUCAUUGUGUAUGCAAAUAUUAUAACUUGCAUGUAAUCCUAUAUUACAGUUUGCCACUCCACAUGUAAUUAUAUUUAUUAGAGAUGAAUCAUUAAUCUAGUAGUUUUUGGAAUUUUGUUUUCUUACAUUAAUCACUUUUUUCCCCUCCAACAUUUAUUUUAUAAUUUUUUUUUUUUAUGUAGUGGUGAAAUUGAGAAAUCUACCCUAAUAUUUGAUUAAUUGGUAAUUAAAAACAUUUCAGAAUCCCAUCAUUUGCUGCUUUUAAGAUAUGCGACUGUGCUCUUGUUGAAUCGAGUGCGCACACUAUGUAAAUAAGUCUCCCUGCAAAUGCGUAUCUAUCUCACUAAUUAAACUGUUUCUCAUUUCACAGGUUGCUCAAUGAAUCUGUAUUUUAUCACAUUCGAGUGGGAAGGUUAAUGGAGGUGCUCACCUGUGCAACCAAUCAACAUGGGUGAAAAAUCCUCUUUCUGCAUUGUUUCUUUGUUAAUUACCUUCACAGAAGACAGAGGAGUCCAUUAGGACAACACCGAGAGAUGUCUAAUGAGUCACAUGGGGUACUGUUAAUCACCCAGAUAGUCUUAAAGUGCCCUAACAUGUAAAAAAAACUACCUAAUAUUCUCUUCAGUUGCAAGAGCAGAAAUCAUAUUAAGUGUAUA